This 58678-nucleotide long non-coding RNA is filed under the name Triticum aestivum (bread wheat). RNAcentral's name for it is "long non-coding RNA (TAES_LNC001978)". The record is from RNAcentral. Lineage: Eukaryota; Viridiplantae; Streptophyta; Magnoliopsida; Poales; Poaceae.
GGGCAUCUCUCAGCGGGCAGCAUUUCAGCAACAUUCAGCGGUACUACAGGAGGGUUACAACGCUAUUUGUCAUGGGUGCUCCAUGUUGAACAUUGUAAUCAAUCUCCAUGAUGGGAUGUAGUAACUGAGCUGAUGAUAUUUUUUUGAACUACAGAUCUGUUUACAGCAGGUUGAUAAUAACUUACCUGCAUGCCAAGAAUCUUUUUACGUCUUGGAUCAUAGGCAAGGUUAUGAUAAAUUGUUUGUUGAGGAAUUUUUAUGGUACACCUUAGUAAUGUACUGUUCUUGGUGUCUCUGAAUCUGCUAUGGGUGCAUGUGCUCUGUGUGCAAUAAUUCAGGCCUUUUUUUUGAGGAAAAUAAUUCAGGCCUUGUGUUGCUGAUGGAAUGAUGACCAUAUGCAAACAGUAUGUUUCCACCCUUUGCUAGCCUUUUCCAAUAUUACUCCUCAAGAACUCAAGCCGUUGUUUUACAAUCCUCUAUCCACCCUUUGUACACAUAUUAUGGCUAAUAUGUUGUUGUUGAGCCAUCAAGUUUCUUCAUAUUAUGCUCUUUUCAACUCCAACGGAUCAUGGUAGCUUCGGGCGACAUAGGGUGGCCCGCUAGGUAAUUGGGACGUUUAAAAAACGAAUAUAUGGUUUGACCAAGCGAAACAUCCUAGUAUUAUGCGAACCACGACUCUUUUCACCCGCUUAGAGCAACUCCAACGCAAGGACCCAAACGAACACCGAUUUUAUCCGUUUCGUGUCCGUUUGGAUUACCUGUCCGCCUAGUGGACAUAGGGCGGACAAGCCUUGUAUCCAACGCACGUCGACCCAAAACUCUCCGCGCCGCCCGCCCCCUCCUCUCUCCCUCGCGCCGCCCGCCCCCUCCUCUCUNNNNNNNNNNNNNNNNNNNNNNNNNNNNNNNNNNNNNNNNNNNNNNNNNNNNNNNNNNNNNNNNNNNNNNNNNNNNNNNNNNNNNNNNNNNNNNNNNNNNNNNNNNNNNNNNNNNNNNNNNNNNNNNNNNNNNNNNNNNNNNNNNNNNNNNNNNNNNNNNNNNNNNNNNNNNNNNNNNNNNNNNNNNNNNNNNNNNNNNNNNNNNNNNNNNNNNNNNNNNNNNNNNNNNNNNNNNNNNNNNNNNNNNNNNNNNNNNNNNNNNNNNNNNNNNNNNNNNNNNNNNNNNNNNNNNNNNNNNNNNNNNNNNNNNNNNNNNNNNNNNNNNNNNNNNNNNNNNNNNNNNNNNNNNNNNNNNNNNNNNNNNNNNNNNNNNNNNNNNNNNNNNNNNNNNNNNNNNNNNNNNNNNNNNNNNNNNNNNNNNNNNNNNNNNNNNNNNNNNNNNNNNNNNNNNNNNNNNNNNNNNNNNNNNNNNNNNNNNNNNNNNNNNNNNNNNNNNNNNNNNNNNNNNNNNNNNNNNNNNNNNNNNNNNNNNNNNNNNNNNNNNNNNNNNNNNNNNNNNNNNNNNNNNNNNNNNNNNNNNNNNNNNNNNNNNNNNNNNNNNNNCGCGGAGGAGCGGCCGAGCGCGCGUUGGCGACCUGUGCCGACGGCCUCGCUGCGGCGCGGAGGAGCGGUCGAGCGCGCAUCGGCGACCUGCGCCGGUGGCCUUGCUGCGGUGCGGAGGAGCGGCCGAGCGCGCGGUGGAGACCAGCACCGGUGGCCUUGCUGCGGGCGUUGCAGUCGCUGACAUAUGGGACCAGGGGCGGACACGAGCGGGCGAUGGCGGUGGACGAGAGCGUCCGCUUCCGUCCGCUUCGUACCCAUUUGUUCCCAGAUUUGGGUCAGGUUUGGGUCGGGGACGGACAGCAGGCGGACACGGACGUCCGUUUGGAUCGCCCCGUUGGGCCAAGUUUUCUGUCCGGAUGACCCAAACGGACAAAAUGGGUCCUUCCAUUGGAGUUGCUCUUAUGUUCUCUCUACUAACCAUCAUGCUUUUCUCGUCAAAUGGCCUUCUCCACCCUCACUCUAGAAAAAGACGUGGUGUGUCUUCCACACCCCUUUGGUUUGCCAUUGCUUCGCUCAUUCAUCACCCCCUCCACUUUACUCGCUCCCUCUUCAUCUAUAACUCGCCCAAAUAACCACAUUAAUUACUAUGUUUACAACGGAUGGUGGUCCACUAAGCUCUUCACCUCAUGAGAUAUGUGCGGCGAAGACAGGCGUUCUUCAUCCUCUCACCUUAAAUCAGUAUUCGAAUAAAAACCUCAAAGGCCUUGCGGCUUUACUGUAAGCCACGCGUCCGUGGAAGGGAAGCCCGGCGAUAGGAUCUGCCUCCGGUGUCAUGAAAAGCUCUUCUGUUGGAUAAGCAUCAACUACUCAUGAUGCUUUUGUCGCAUCACGAUGAGCCUUUUGGCAUUGUGGACAAGAACAAAAAAAUUAUCCUUUUUGCUAGGAAAACACUCAGAUAAGAAUGAGAAGAAAAAAUCAUUGUUAUCUCUUUUCUUAUAUGCUAAAAUGGACAAAAGUAGUGAACAAUAGUACAUCAGUCAUUUUGUUGUAUGAUUUUGAAUCCAGUUUGUUUCCAAAUGCAUGUACAAAUGUCUUGUUGCAUCGUAUCAUAAAAUUUGAUUGAAUUUGACCGGGCUAUUAAAAUGUAAAACAUGCCACAAAUGGUUUGUUGUGACUUGUGAGCUAAGAAUACAAAAUUCAAAUGGCAAACAAGCACUUCAAAUACCAAUUUGAUACAUCAUGCAAAUAGUCAUAAAACGUUCGAGUAAGUAUGAAGACUCCACAACAAUACCCCCAUAGUCUUGUGACAAAGCCAUAUACAUUCAAGAGGGCUCUAUCUAUCGCCAAAUAUGAACAAUAUUAAAACUUAAAUUGAACUUAGCAUGCCAAAUCCAAAUAACUGCAAAAUCCCAUUUUGUGAUUAGAGAACAAACUACCCAUUGGAGAAAAAAGACAAAGUUUACCUCUUAUGGAGAAUGACCUACACCACAACCUUGUUCAUGGGAUUCAUGGGUAUGGUCAGACUUGGCAGAAAUUGGUGGAAGUUGUCAAGUACGUUUGUAAACCCCGCCUACAUUCAAAAUAAGUUUUAAAUAUAACAAAUGCAAUUCCCCUUGAAUGUAGUCACAUAAGACACCACAUGUUCGGUGCCACUGCCCAAUGACUUGUCAAGCUGACAUCACAAGCCAAAUAAGCUCACAUAUUCGACACUACUAGCCACACAUUUGUCACACUGGCUUUGCAAGCCAUGAAACGAUGAUAGAAACCACCACCGUCAAGUGCGGCCACACAUAUUGUUCAUGUGCAUGCAACAGGUUAUGCAUGGUAUAAUAACCAACUCAUCCUCAUCACAAAGUUGGCACGCACAUACCUUUUGCCGACUUGGAUGUAGGAUGGGCGGUAUUUCCUAGCUACGAGACGCUUUAAGUGGAGAUAACCGCGGGACCGAAGAAGAAGUUCUUAGAUGAUGGGGUAAGUGAUGUGUGAUGACCUAACAUGAAUACAUGGUUUCCUCAGACCCGUGUCUCCAUGGCCAGUCAUGAAAUGUGAAAACGGGACGAUGGCAUGACGGCACAGCUGGGUCUACAACGAAACAUCUAGCCGACCACUAUGCACUGACGCGGCUGCCUCGUAGCCCCAAAGGGGCUCCAUCAUCGUCCUUUUGCGGUACCAACAUUCAAGAAGCAAGGGGAGAGGGACGCAACUGCACGCGGGAACUAGAUAGAGGGAUAUAACAACCAAGGGCGAUGACGGCUGGCGUGAGGGUGGAGCCAUCGUGGCUAGACCGAGGAUCGUGGCAGAUCAAGGGCCACUACAUGGAAACGGAACGCGAUCAUUGAUUGCUCUUGGUUGGAAAACCAUAUUGCGAUGGCAACUACAAACUGAUGCAUGCGCGGACCAGCUAGGGAGAGGGGAUGCCCGUUCGCAUGAUCUAGGAGCGGUUUUCCUAUACGACUGCCAUUUAGAAAAGGCAUCAAUCAAACCAACGUCUUUUCUCAAAUACGCACGAGCAUGCGUAUCAUUCAUUAAAGAGGAGGGGGAAGAAGGGAAGAACCCCGAAGUAACCAAUGUACACUGUGUAUUUACAUGCCGGCUAUUCCGACACUACCAAGAAAACGAGAAAAGCUACUAGCCCGGAGCUGCCCACCUAACUACCUCUGCAUUUUGGGCCACCUUGCCAAACAAGCCUGCCUUGGUCCAGGCCUCCCAUUCAUCCAUGAUCCGCUGCUUGAGGAGAGCUACUGAUGGCGUUAUACCAUUGAACACCACGUCGUUCCUGUGCUUCCAGAGCAUCCAAAAGACUAGAAGAGAGGUUGCUCUUGUAGUUUUCAGGUUUAUGGCCAGUAGGUCCUGCCUGAUACCAUCAAACCAACGUCUUUAUUGCACGUCGCGGGCUCACGGGGUUUUAUAAAAGCCCGUGAAUCUGUUAUCUUGGGGUUUAUGAAGAGCGGCGAGGAUGAGGUGUGAAACCAUGAAUAAACCACCACCACCGGUUUCCUGAAUACUCCCUCCAUCCGUAAACAUAAGUCUUUCUAGAGAUUCCGAUAUGGAUUACAUAUGGAGCAAAAUGAGUGAAUCUACACUCUGAACUACGUCUAUAUACAUCCAUAUUAAAAUCCUUAAAAAAUAUUUAUAUUUAGGAAUAGUAGUAGAGUAGUAAAUACCAUGGUCCAUGGCACAGGCCAAAGCUGUGUAGUGUACCAUGUGUCCCAUACUACCUGAAUCUGUAUUGUGGGGUUGACUGAAGUUUCUGAAGCCGGUGGGCAGAAGGUGCGGCAGGCCCACAGUUUCAACGCCAUAAAACCACACGGGUCACGGGCGGUGGGGCGACGCGAUGGGAAUAUUUUAUUUUAUUUUAUUUCCCUUCCUCGCCGAGGAGAACCAGGAAAAAAAAAUUAGUGUUAGCUCCAACCCGUAACGCCAGUCCUUUCUCCCCCCGCGGCGAUCGCCGGAGAGGAGAGGAGCGGAGGGGAUGGACGCGGCGGCGCCGUCGCGGCGCGCGGGGCCGAGGCGGGACAGGCCCCUCAUCCCGCCCAACUACGUCAGCCUCCGGGACCUCCAGGAGCUCCGCCUCAAGGAGCAGGCCGAGCGGCGGCGGCGCCAGGAGGAGGAGGAGGCCGCCGCCAGGAGGGAGGCCGAGCAGGAGGAGGAGGAGCGGCGGCUGCGGAAGGAGGCGGAGGAGCAGGCCGCCGCGAGGAGGGCCAAGGAGGAGGAGGCCGUGGCGGCGAGGAGGGUUAGGGAUGCGGCGGCGGCGGCGGAGAUGAAGGGCUCCUCCUCCUCGUCGCGUGCCCCCUUCAGGUAUAAUGAGAGGCCCCGCGCAGGGCCGCGCGGGGAGGGUUCGGCCCUGAAUAGUGGUGGCGCCGCGGGAGGCAGCAAGGGGCCGGGCGGCGACGCGGCCGAUGGAACCCUAGGCGGCGGAGGUGGAGGCAGGGCGCGGGAUGAGGGGAAGGGCAAGGCCUCUGCGGGCUUGAUUGCCGGCGACCCAGCCGAGACAGCUACCAGCGGCAAGCCGAACGAGAAGAGCAAUGGGGAGGCCUCUGGAUGUCAGGGCACCGCAUUGGGGACGAGCAGCGUGCCAGGCGAGCUGGCCGAGGUGGACACUGCUUCAUACCGAGGCGGCGUCAAGCCGAGGUACAAGAACAAGGGGAAGAAGGGUUUCGAUGGCCGGAGCACAGAGACAGCCAUGACCGGCUCUUUGGUUGAGGUGGUGAAGGCAUCGCCACCGCGAGUCGUUGAUUCGGAGAACAAGGGGAAUGCUGGAUCGAGUAAUCAGAGCACUGGAAAAGCUUCGGCAAGCUCACAGGGCGAGGCAGCUGAGGAUUCACCACUGCAGGGAGUCAAGUCGGAUAACAAGUGGAAUAAGAAGAACAAACCCUCAGGAGGAAGGCAGGCGGGCGCACCACCGAGCGGCGAUUGGCCGAACAGGAGGAGGGACCAGCCUCGUCCGUCCGCUGAGGGUAGCCGCGGCCGGAGGAAUGGCGAUGGUCAAGGAGCCGUAUGGGAAGUAAAAUCCGAUGGCCUUGGGGGAAAGCAGCCGGAGGUGGAGGGGAAGGCCCACUCGCAUCUGCCCACUGAGAGCAGCAGUAACAGAAGGAGGGGCAGUGGUCAAGGAAUGACCAGGAAGGGAAAAUUUGAAGACUCUGGGGAGAAGGAGCUGGUGGUUGAGAUGAGGGCGCAUCCGCAUCCAGCUGCUGACAGCAGUAGCUAUCAAAGCAGCAGCGGUGAUCAAGGAAUGGCCGGGAAGGCAAGAUCUGAGGACUUCGGGGAUAAGCAGCCGGUGGGAAGGAGCAGCGGUGAUCAAGGGAUGAACCAGGAGGCAAAAUCUGAGCGCUUCGAGGAGAAGCAGUCGGCUGUGGAGAUGAGAGCUGUAAAGACCUACCGUGGGCAGCGGCCUGGCGGUUGCAGCCGAGUGAAUGGCACCACAAGGCAGCCCGGCAGCAUCUGGGUUCCAAAGGCUGCUGCUGUCCCAGUCCGCACCGAAGUCGGAAACAUUCCAUAGACAGGAAGUAUAUAUAGUAGUAAUAUGUGGCAAGAUGUGCCAGUGGUAGAUUUUCGACAAAUGAAGGUGCUAAAUCCUAUUUAUAAAUAGGAAGUGCAUGUAGAAUGUAGGUGCCCAUGUAGGGCCGGCGGGCUUUGAGAUUGCCAAAUUGGUUUGCCAGACUUUGAUAUUUGCUAGAUUGGUUCUGCGGUAAUAAAAAUAUUGUAAUCUCUGUAGAUUCCUGCUGUAAUUAAAUCAUUGCAAUAUUUUGGUGGAAUUUGCACAAGAUCCUUGCAUUCCAAACAUAUUGCAUAAACAAAAAGGCAUGGCAUUGCAGGUGAGGAUGGUGAAUUGGAAUUGACUUGUAUGUGCAGUACAUUCACUGAUCAUUGUGAAAUUUACUGACUGAUGCAGAGUUCAACUCUGAAAACUGAAGCAUGUUUCCUCAUUUCAAUUCCUCAUGUUACUUAGCGAGUGGCGCCGCAAGGCAGCACUGCGGCAUCUGGCUGCCCAUGGUUACUGCUGUGCUGGUCCGUUACGAAGUCGGAAACUUUCCAUAGACGGGAAGUAUAUUUAGUACUAAUAUAUGUGGUAACAUGUGCCAGUGGUAGAUUUUCAAGUAAUGAAGGUGCUAGAUCUUUUUUAUAAAUAUUAAGUGCAUGUAGAAUAUAGGCGUCCAUGUAGGGUUUGUGGGCUUUGAAAUUGUCAAAUUGGUUUGCUGGACUUAGCUAUUGCCAGAUUGGUUUUAGAGUAAUAUUGUAAUCUCUGUAGAUUCCUUCUGCAAUUAAAUCAUUGUCAUUUUUGUGUGAAACUGGCACAAGAUUCUUGGGUUCCAAACAGAUCGCAUAAACAAAAAGGCAUGGAAUUGCAGGUGAGGAUGGUGAACUAGAAUUAACUGAUUUACUGACUGAUGCAUGUUUCCUCAAUUCAAUUCCUCAUGAAACCUAUACAUUCUGCUGUUUCUGGUUUUACUGACUGAUACCUGUUUCCUCAAUCCAAUUCCUCAUGGAAGGUAUACAUCUGCUGUUGCCAGUCAGCGAUAAAAUCAAGCUACAAGGUGUUUGUGUUCUGCUAUGUUUGUGUUCUGCUAUUUCAAAUCAGAGACAAGACAAAAGCAAAAGGGUUAAACUGGUGUAGAAGCAUUGCUAGCUCCCCUUGGUUGAUAUGAGAGUAUCCUCAUCCGAAUAUCACAGUGAGUAUGCUGCAUUUCUCAUCCAAAAUGUUUUGCAUGCUAGAAUCAAAACAUCACAUAUUGCUGCAUAUACUGAUGAUCCCCUGAAUCACCGUCUAAUUUCUACUUCCCAUCGCUUCAUCCUCGCACUGUUACCUCCCCUAAAGCGAGGGGAAGUACCUGCUCAUACCAUAUGGUAGAGCGUAGAACUCCUCGCUUCUGCCGUCAUGCCUGUAGGACUUGAAUUUCUCCAACCACAGCCAGCCCCUGUCCCUCCUCACAUGGGGUUCCCAGUAGAGGUGUGUGCAAUCGAGAAGGUAGGCAAGUAUGGCAGCAACAGUCGCGGGCGAGGAGAAUAUCACGUUGACAAUGACAUUGAACUGAAAUUUCAAUGAAUAAGAUGGUGUAGGUAGUGAUCAGUGUGAAAGUUAUAUUUAUAAUAACUAGGUUGUGUCACCCUGUAGUUGAGUCUACAUACCGCUAGUGAACGUGUGUGAGCUGGUCCAAAGCCGUAGAAUGUCUCAAACUCCCGGAAGUACUGUGGUAUGGAUAGCCCCAGGAACAAGGAGAUGCCGAGUAUAAACUUGCUUCUCCGGGUGUUAAGGUUGCAGUAUUGAAGGAAGCAGAGGCCUGCAGCAGCUGUUUCAGGCAGAAAACAAGAUCAACAAAAUAAAAAUGUUAUGAACAUUCGAGGAUUUGAUUCCAUAAAAUUCUGGUGGAUUGUUAUGUAAUGCUCACCUGAAUAAGCAAAGAGAACACAGUAGAGUGCAGAGAAAAUUGGCAAUGGGAUAGAUGCAAGAAUUGCCCCAAAUUUUCCUGUUGAUUGUUAAGCCAUGUCACCCAAAUUAAGUCGCUGACUAUAAAUGGUGAUCACUGAUCACUGAUAGCGCUGAAAGAUUCAGAGAAUAGGAUCACUACCAAACAGCGAGAAGAAGAUCAUGAACAAAGCUGAAAUCUUGAUGACUCGUCUGCUUCCAACUCGCGUCAAGGCCAGUAGACCGCAGUUCUCACUACACAAUAUAACAAUGACAAUCAGUUAGAUAUUUCAUUUAGGUGAUUUCUGAGCAAUGAUUCUUAGCAGGCUAAAGUACUAGAGUAGAUGUAGAGCUCAUUACACUGAAGCUGCUGUGCCUGUCAACGUACCGCACAUCCCAUCUAGUAUGAUAGAUAUACCCUGAUAGUUUGGAAGUUGCUUAGCAGUGAGUGUGCUGGAAGCAAAAUAUUCACGAGAAAAUUCAAGCAUUUAGUCGUGUUAUUCAAGUACCUGCCAGCCAAUUCCACGAGCGAAAACUGAAGGCGGGACGAAUGUCGCGCCUGCGUAUCUUGACACUGCGAUUAGUGUGCCAGUAGACUGAAAGUAAAAUUGUUCAUCAGACUAAACCCAAGAAAUUCCUUGCACCUAAUGCUACUCUGUUUUGCAGAAUUGCGGCGAUCCGAUACAGUCCCAGUCUCACUGAAGUGCAGAACUGAAGAUGUGUAUGUACCUCAAUAAGCGAAGCGAAGGAAGCGGCCAUCAUGGCGAAGCAGUCUUGCGCGCAGAAGAUGGGGUAUCCCCACUGGAACGGGUAAGGGAACCUGACCCUGCUCAUGGCAGAAGCAACAGGAUGCGUAUGUCAGUGAGCCACUCCAAGGAGCAUGAAGACUAGGCAGUAAGGCUUCAGAGUCAGAGGCCAUACCAGGGCGCGGCAUGGAUGAGGCCGGAGCUGUCGGUGCGGCAGCUGAACUGCGUCACGGGGUUCCUCUCGUCGUAUGCGCCGGCCGCCGUCAGUAUCUCGGCGAAGAUCCACACGAUGAUCACCGUCACCAGCACCGCGCACCGGCCGAACACGAAGCUCCCUUUGGCAAAGUAAUGGGACGCGUACUGCAAGGGCAAAAGAAGAGAAGGUGGUCAGGAAAUGCAUUCUCAGUUACAAAUCUAGUCUAGAGAAAAACAGACCAAUCUCUCAUGAUACCUCUGAGAAUAUUAGGAGCAGAACGAGCGUCGGGAGACCGAUCUCGAUGCAUUUGGCGACCUGCAGAACAGCCAAAGUGUGUUGACAGAAUUCAGAGACUGAAUCAAGAGGGGAACAAUCCAAGCAAAAAGCAACAGCGAGUGGCAACAAUCAUGGCAUCAAGAGCUCCUGUCUUUACCCCUGGGAAGGCGAAGUAGAAGAGGCCGAGCGCGGAGAGCGUGACGAAGGGGACAGCGGCGAGGGGGCUCAGGAACCUGGCAACAAGUAACAGAGAGAAGAACAAGCAGCGUCAGUGCAACAAGUAACAGAGAGAAGGGGGCUCAGGAACCUGGCACGAGAAGCACAAGCAGCGUCAGUGCAACAAGUAACAGAGAGAAGGUAUUGAUGGGGAUCGGAGACGGUGGCGUGAGGCAGCGAGCGAGGAAUUGUCGGACAACCUUAUGAAGACCCUCCAUAUGCCGAAGAAGCCGAUGACGGCCUGGAAGACGCCGGCGAUGAUGAGCGCGCCCUGGAGCGACCGCAUGGUGUACACAAACCUCUGAAAGAAAACGGCAUCGGUCGAUCAGUCAGUCAGUCGUGCAGCCGCCAGCUGCUGCGGUGCAGGACCAGGACGGGACGGGACAGAGCAGCAGGGAGAAGUGCAGAAACGGGGGCCGGACCUCGAAAGGGGCGCCGAUGAAGAGGAUGUAUCUUGGGCUGAUGAUGAUGGCGACGGCGGCGUAGAUGUAGGUGAAGGAGCCGCCCAUGACGGCGGGGAGCCGCGUGCCGAAGUGCACCUGCAGGAGCGUGUUGAUCCCGGCCAGGAAGAGGAUGGUCUGGAUCACGAUCGCCUUCUCCUCCUGCAAUGCAUGCGGCACGAGCUCGGUCGUCAGGACGAGGAGCACAGGGGCACCAUGACAGGACGGAAGGGAUGGAAGAUGAGGCUCACAUGGCCGCCGCCCAUGAUGGGGACGAGGAUGGUGGCGAUGAUGACGGUGGUGCCGAGCAUGACCAGGUAGUGCUGGAACGCGACGACCACCGUGGUGACUGCGGCAAGGGAGAAGAAGCAGGGACGUCAGUCAGAACUCGGAAGGAACCACUGGUGAACCGGCCUAGCUACCGGCUGCGGAUGAGUGAGCGGCGAGGGCACGCACUCCAUGGCGGCGGGCUGGUGAUGCAGUAGUCGAGCUCGGCGUACUGCUCCCUGCAGGGGUGCGGCACCAGGUCCUCGGCCUUGACGGGCGACAUGGCGCCGGCCGGCCGGCGAGCGGCGAGGAGGGGAAGGCGAAGGGGGCGGGGUCAGUUUACAGUGUAGUGAAGCGGCUGAUGGUGGUGGAAGAAACGCAGGCGCGCCUCCAUUUAUAUAGCCGGUGGCCUCUCCCGCUUCCUCUGUCCGUGCGUUUCGUCAUGUCGCUGUGCGCUUUACCACGUCUGUGUCGGUGGAUGAGCCGCCUCUUCUGUUCUCUUAGUGUCAAAAAAAAAAUGUCUUACAUCUUGGGACGGAGGGAGUAGUUAAUCGUACGAAUCGCAGUAACUUUGGAACUGUACGAAUUGCAGUGGAUUUUUAGUACGAACGAUGUCGUUCGCUCCAAGAGGCUCUAGCCAGACGCCCUGCGCCCUUUUCCCUUUUCCUCACACACACCGCUAGAGGCUUGCCAUGCUAUAAAGAGUUAUAAAUUGCCACGUUGCACAACGUAGUCGUCGCUAGGUGGUCUACGGAUAUGGAUGUAAUUUUUAUUAUUUCUAGUGUUCGUUGUACUGUCAUGAUAGGAGAUGAAUAGAUUGCAAUUUUUCUCGCAAAAAAAAGAAAGAAUUUGUCAUGCUGCAGCAAAGGAACUUGCCGUGUGUUCAGUGGUAGAAAAAGAUCGCCAUGUUAUAACCAAAAGAUUUACCUUGAUACAACAGAGUAAGUCGACACGCAUGUUCAGGAGCUGCCAUGCUACAGCAGAAAAAAAAUGUAAUUGUCAUGCAAUGCAGAGAAGUUGUUGUGCUCUGGACGUUUGUUCGCGCCGUUUGGAUCGUUCGCUCCAGGAGGCCCAAACGAGCGAGCAAUACGCGCGCGAUGCAGCCUAGAGCAUUCGUUCGGACGACCCCUCCCAGAGCACGUUCGCUAUAUAACAUUUUGCAAAAAGGAAAGAAGGAAAAGAUAUACGUGCAUCGAGAGAGUUUCAUCAGUGGUUGACCCUCGCUCGCUCGAUCGAAGCCGUUAGCCAGAGAUGGGGCCAGGCGCCGUUUGGAGAGACGAGGACAAGACUGGGUAGCUUUUAGGUAGGAAAAAAAUAUUGAGGUCCAGCCAUGCAUCAUCGUCCCCGUCCCGUUACGUACGUACCCUCCCCGCUUUGCUUUGCUUUCCCACGUUGUUAGAUGGGGUUGGCGAACUAGCUAGCUUGGGUCUGGUUUCCCUCAAAAAAAAAAAAAGAAGAAANNNNNNNNNNNNNNNNNNNNNNNNNNNNNNNNNNNNNNNNNNNNNNNNNNNNNNNNNNNNNNNNNNNNNNNNNNNNNNNNNNNNNNNNNNNNNNNNNNNNNNNNNNNNNNNNNNNNNNNNNNNNNNNNNNNNNNNNNNNNNNNNNNNNNNNNNNNNNNNNNNNNNNNNNNNNNNNNNNNNNNNNNNNNNNNNNNNNNNNNNNNNNNNNNNNNNNNNNNNNNNNNNNNNNNNNNNNNNNNNNNNNNNNNNNNNNNNNNNNNNNNAAGAAGAAAAAAAGCUAGCUUGGGUCUGGUGUGCAGUCCCAACUCCCGUUCUACUUCCACAUGCAUCACGGUUGCUUCCGCCGGCCGGCCGUGCGCCUGUCCAUCAGCCGGAUCGGAAGUGCGUAUUUUAUGUGGCGUGGUUGGAGUUGGAAUGGUGGUUCUGGGGUUGCAGCGACCGGCCGGAGCAAGAGCAAGGAAGGAUGCGUUAUGUGGAAGCUACGAGUGGGUGGUGGGACGAUAAGACAGUAGGCGUAUGACACAAACUGAUCGAUCGAUCGAGACGGCAUGGGAUUAGUUGGGUAGAUGCUGGCUGCUGCGCCAAUGGAUGCCGCCGUCGCUAUGCGUUUGUCUCUGAGAACGGCAUAAUUCAGGGCUCUAGCUAUAGUAUACCUUUUUCUUUUGCGGGGCAAUUAGGCCUGGGCUAGUAGCUUUUUUUAUAGACAAUCUUGGGCUAGUAGCUGGUAAUAUAACUACACUCGGCUAGAUAGGCUGAUCAUGGGCGUCAAAACUCCAAACGGGAUUUCAAUGAGCUAGUCAAAUCUCGGAAAAGCUAUAUCCCGCCUCCUACGAGACAGAAUGAGCCGUCUGUGUUUGGGUCUUGUUUCGAAAGAAGUGGGCAUUGGCGCCGUGAACCUUUCGCCCGGUUUUAAGAAGGUUUCGAUCAUUUUUUUUUCUAUUUCCCUUCUUUCUGGUGUUUCCUCUGUUUUUUUCCUGUUUUUUCAAAAAUAGUUUUUUUCUUCUGCAUUUUUCAUAUGCUAUGAGCAUUUUUCAAAAAUUAUGCGAACAAAAGUUUACCUUUCAUGAGCAUAUUUUAACAUGCGAACAUUUUUUAAAUGUCAUGAACACUCUUUUGAAUGAUACAAACAUUUUUUCAGGUUACACAAACAAAAUUUUAUGUUUUCAUGGUAUUGUUUUAAUUGUCGAACACAUUUUUAAACGGGUGAACUUUUAUAUGUCACAUUUUUUUUUCAAUUUGCACGAAUGAUUUUCUACACUUGAUCAACAUUUGCUAAAAUUAGUAAAAUAGGAAAAAAUAGCAUGUAUCAUGGAAAACUGUGGCAUGCAUGCUGGGAAAAACCAUGGCGCACUAGCCCUUUUCAUGUUUUGAGUCGUGGUGUAUUACCCCCGUGAAAGAAAUUUGCAUGCUUUUUAUGUCAGCCCCAACGCAUCUCCGUGUAGGCGAGGCAAGGAGGAUCAGGCCAGCUACAAGCGAGACAUAUAGCAUGCCGUCAAAUCUAUCGCGGCUGCUAUUUCUUGCCCGUUGCGGACAUAACUGAGACUAGCCUCUAGUCCCUGCCUUACAGGGUAGGCCCAGUAAUGUAGCAUUAGUGUGAGUUUUAUUCUGAAUUUUCUUUUUCAGUUUUUUCACACUUUGCAUCCUUUUUUUUUCGGUUGUUCUCUUUGGUUUUUUCCGUUCUCAUUUUUUCUUUGGUUUUCCUUGUUUCUUUCUUCAGUUUUCAUCUUUUUCUUUAUUUUUUUAACACAUGUCUAUUUUUUCACACACAUAGUACAUUUUUCAUAUACAUCAGAAACAUUGUUAUGCAUGUUUAACAUUUUUUAAAUACAUUAUUAAUAUUUUUAAAAUAUGUUUUGUUUUAUAAUAUUUUCAUACACAUUGUAUAGUUUUCAUAUACGUCUAAAACAUUUUUUAUGCAAGUUAAAUAUGUUAUACAUAAAUAAUUAAUAUUUUCAAAUAUUGUUUGUAUUUUUUAAAUAUAUGUUAAUUUGUAUUUAAAUACACGUCAAAACGUUUUUAUGAAUGAUACAACUAUGCAAUAAUUUUUACAUUGUAUAAACAUUUUUUAAAUGUCACAAACAUAGUCCCUCCAUUCCUAAAUAUAAGCCUUUUUACGGAUUUCAAUAUGGACUACAUAGGGAUGUAUAUAGACAUAGUUUAUUGUGUAAAUUCACUCAUUUUGCUCCAUAUGUACUCCAUAUUGAAAUCUCCAAAAAAGACUUAUAUUUAGAAACGAAUGUAUUAUUUUUGAAACACACAAACUUUUUAAAAAUGAUUUUUUUAAUGUUAAAAAACACUUUCUUAAUUAGACAAAUAUUUUUAUUACAUUGCAUAACAUUUUUAAAAAAUGUCACAUAUAUUUUCUUGUAGCACAUGAACAUUUAUUAAAUAUCCCAUAUAUAUUUUUGAAUUGUACAAACAUUUUCCAAAAGUAGGACAAACAUACAUUUUACACUGCAUGAACAUAUUUUUAAUGUGCGUUGAAUGAUUUAAAAAAAUAUUAUUAUUUUAUAAUAUAUGUAUUUAAUAAUUUUCAAAAUAUAAAGAAAAUUAUAAAAAUAAAAGAAAGCCACAUGUGAGAGACAUCAACAUGUCGAAUCCACAUGACAAUUGGGUCGACCCACUACUGGCUCCGAGUAGGUGAGUAGUGCUAUUGCCUUGCAUAAAGGGAGACAUAGCCACGCCCCAAUCUAUGUCCAUGGUGUAAUUCAAGGGAAAAUAGAGUAUCAGUCUGAUAUGGUCGCACUAACAAACCCCAGCCCUGUGUGGUAAUGAAACAUAACCAGACCAUGAGCAUGUAUGUAUUUUUGUUUGAAUCACUAAUUGAGAAGUACUCCUUUCAAAAAUCACUUCCACCUUCCAGGUUGUGACAAGUGGCGUGCUGCAUGUGCGUCACUUGUCGCAACCUUUAAGUUUUUCUUUUUUUUCGUAGAUCCGUUUAUGCAAAACUUUUUAUCUUUAAACCGUGCGUCUAAAUUUUGAAUCAUUUUCACUGUUGCAUUCAUUGUGUUGAGAUCUUCAAAACUAGAUCACAUGUCGAUAUGUUUUGACGAACUCUUUUUCCAGAAAAAAACUACACCUGGGAGCAGGUGUUUUUUUUCUUUCCGAAAGCCGUUUCUGAGAGGCACACCCGUGCUUCUCACAGAAAAAAAAGAAAGCACUUUUUUUCAUUUUCGAGAGGCACGGUCGUUCCUCUCGCGGAAGCAAAUCCAAGGCACGCAAAAGAAAACAAAAUGUUUUUCCCGUUUUCGAGAGGCUCGCGGAAGCAAAACCAUGCAUCUCACGGAAGCAAAACUAUGCCUCUCGUGAAAGUAAAAAAAGUGUUUUAUCCGUUUUCGAGAGGCAUGGCCGUGCCUUCCCGGAAGCAAAACUGUGCCUCUCGCGAAAAAAAAGAAAAUACAUUUUUUCUUUCUAAGAGGUGCCUUUCGUGAAAGCAAAAAAGAAACAGUUUUUUCGUGCAAUUCUUUUCCAGAAAAAAUUUGGUCGAAGGAAAGACCGAUGGAAAACCAAAAAGAAAAAAACAACAACAGAAAAAGCAUCUAAAAAGCCAAAAAUACGUGUGAAAAAAUAAAUCCGAAGAGAGCGCCUAAAGCGCGACAUGUGGCAGCCGCUGAGAACGCGCCAACUGGCGCGUUCUUAGCCUACCCCAAGUGACCCUUGGGGAGGCUCUCCUGAGUUUGUUGCUCCCACUUUUGUUGCUAUGCCAUACCCAAACAUCAACAAGUAGUCAUGCAGAUUAGGCUAGGUUAUAUUCUUCGCAUUAGUUAUGUUUCAUAUCCAUGUGACCCUUCCACAUCAGGAAUUCAUGCAUGCCAACCAUAAUUUUUUUUAAAUAGUUGCAAAUCCGUUACAUAUUUUCAUAUACAUGCAACCAUGACACGUCAGCAAGCCAUGCAUGUUAAUCAUAAGUUGCCUUUUUUGCACUAAUUAUCUUUUCUAUUCAUGAAACUCUACUACAUUAGCAAGUCACGCAUUCUAGUCAUAAGUUACUUUUUUUUCAUAAAUUUUAUGUUGUCAUGCGUACUACAUGUGUUGGACAUUCGGAGCGUACAGAUAUAGUUCAUGCUUCAUAAUUUUGUUAGAAAAUGAAAUUCUGUCAACUGCAAAAUAUGUUUCUCUUUUUAUACAUACUUUUGUUACAUGCUUCAAAUUUUGUUUUUAUUUGUCGUUUGUUAAAAAUGCAAGUGGAGAACACUCUUACAUUGGCUUUGCAUUAGUAUCAAUUGAUUUUCUGUAGCACCUAUUUAUGCAUUUCUUCCAACAAGGUAUCCGCAACAACACACGGGAUAACAUCCAUAUGUUUCAACUAAACACUUAUUUCACAUGAAAAUAUUCAUGUGUUUACUAAAAAGGAAUAAAAACUAAAUUUGAAAUUCAUGUAUAAUAAAUCUAGCGUUCAUGUAUCAUAAAAGUAGAUAAAUAAUAUCACGAGUCAAUAAGAUAACCUAAAAAUUACUAUAAUGAUAACUAAAAGCAAAAGCAUAACAACAGGAAUAUAUAAAUAACGAAGAAAAAACAUAAAAAUAAUAAAAGAAAGGAUUACAGAAGAUAUAAGAGCAUCUAUAGCCGGGCGCCUNNNNNNNNNNNNNNNNNNNNNNNNNNNNNNNNNNNNNNNNNNNNNNNNNNNNNNNNNNNNNNNNNNNNNNNNNNNNNNNNNNNNNNNNNNNNNNNNNNNNNNNNNNNNNNNNNNNNNNNNNNNNNNNNNNNNNNNNNNNNNNNNNNNNNNNNNNNNNNNNNNNNNNNNNNNNNNNNNNNNNNNNNNAGUGACCGGUCAAAAAAAGCCGACCUAGACGGGCGUCAAACGCUCGGGCUGAUUGGCACCCCUCAUAUGCUAGCCCUGUUGGGGAACGUAGUAAUUUCAAAAAAAUUCCUACGCACGCGCAAGAACAUGAUGAUGCGUAGCAACGAGAGAGGAGAGUGUUGUCUACGUACCCUCGUAGACCGUAAGUGGAAGCGUUAGCACAAUGCGAUUGAUGUAGUCGUACGUCUUCACGGCCCGACUGAUCAAGCACCGAAACUACGGCACCUCCGAGUUCUAGCACAUGUUCAGCUCGAUGACGAUCCCCGGACUCCGAUCCAGCAGAAUGUCGGGGAAGAGUUCCGUCAGUACGACGGCGUGGUGACGAUCUUGAUGUUCUACCGUCGCAGGGCUUCGCCUAAGCACCGCUAUCGAGGAUUAUGGUGGAGGAGGGCACCACACACGGCUAAUAGAUCUCAAGGAUCAAUUGUUGUGUCUAUGGGGUGCCCCUUGGCCACGUAUAUAAAGGAGUGGAGGAGGGGGGAGAGGGCCGGCCCCUAUGGCACGCCCUGGAGGAGUCCUACUCCCACCGGGAGUAGGAUUCCCCCCUUCCAAAUAGUAGGAGUAGGAGUCAAGGCAAGGGAAGGGAGAAGAGAAGGAAGGAGGGGGCGCAGCCCCUCCCCCUAGUCCAAUUCGGACUAGGCCUUGGGGGGGGGGGGCACCCAACCUCUCCUCUCUCUUUCCCCUAAAGCCCAAUAAGGCCCAUAUACUCCCCGGCGAAUUCCCGUAACUCUCUAGUACUCCGAAAAAUACCCGAAUCACUCGGAACCUUUCCGAUGUCCGAAUAUAGUCGUCCAAUAUAUCGAUCUUUACGUCUCGACCAUUUUGAGACUCCUCGUCAUGUCCCCGAUCUCAUCCGGGACUCCGAACUCCUUCAGUACAUCAAAACUCAUAAACUCAUAAUAUAACUGUCAUCGAAACCUUAAGCGUGCGGACCCUACGGGUUCGAGAACUAUGUAGACAUGAUCGAGACACGUCUCCGGUCAAUAACCAAUAGCGGAACCUGGAUGCUCAUAUUAGCUCCUACAUAUUCUACGAAGAUCUUUAUCGGUCAGACCGCAUAACAACAUACGUUGUUCCCUUUGUCAUCGGUAUGUUACUUGCCCGAGAUUCGAUCGUCGGUAUCUCAAUACCUAGUUCAAUCUCGUUACCGGCAAGUCUCUUUACUCAUUCUGUAAUACAUCAUCCUGCAACUAACUCAUUAGUUGCAAUGCUUGCAAGGCUUAAGUGAUGUGCAUUACCGAGAGGGCCCAAAGAUACCUCUCCGACAAUCGAAGUGACAAAUCCUAAUCUCGAAAUACGCCAACCCAACAAGUACCUUCGGAGACACCUGUAGAGCACCUUUAUAAUCACCCAGUUACGUUGUGACGUUUGGUAGCACACAAAGUGUUUCUCUGGUAAACGGGAGUUGCAUAAUCUCAUAGUCAUAGGAACAUGUAUAAGUCAUGAAGAAAGCAAUAGCAACAAACUAAACAAUCAAGUGCUAUGCUAACGGAAUGGGUCAAGUCAAUCACAUCAUUCUCUAAUGAUGUGACCCCGUUAAUCAAAUGACAACUCAUGUCUAUGGCUAGGAAACUUAAUCAUCUUUGAUUCAACGAGCUAGUCAAGUAGAGGCAUACUAGUGACACUCUGUUUGUCUAUGUAUUCACACAUGUAUUAUGUUUCCGGUUAAUACAAUUCUAGCAUGAAUAAUAAACAUUUAUCAUGAAAUAAGGAAAUAAAUAAUAACUUUAUCAUUGCCUCUAGGCCAUAUUUCCUUCAGUCUCCCACUUGCAUUAGAGUCAAUAAUCUAGUUCACAUCACCAUGUGAUUUAACAUCAAUAGUUCACAUCAUCAUGUGAUUAACACCCAUAGUUCAGAUCGACAUGUGACCAACACCCAAAGGGUUUACUAGAGUCAAUAAUCUAGUUCACAUCGCUAUGUGAUUAACACCCAAAGAGUACUAAGGUGUGAUCAUGUUUUGCUUGUGAGAGAAGUUUAGUCAACGGGUCUGCCAUAAUCAGAUCCGUACGUACUUUGAAAAUUUCUAUGUCAACAAUGCUCUGCACGGAGCUACUCUAGCUAAUUGCUCCCACUUUCAAUAUGUAUCCAGAUUGAGACUUAGAGUCAUCUGGAUUAGUGUCAAAACUUGCAUCGACGUAACCCUUUACGACGAACCUUUUGUCACCUCCAUAAUCGAGAAACAUAUCCUUAUUCCACUAAGGAUAAUUUUGACCAAUGUCCAGUGAUCUACUCCUAGAUCACUAUUGUACUCCUUUGCUAAACUCAGGGCAGGGUAUACAAUAGGUCUGGUACACAGCAUGACAUACUUUAUAAAACCUAUGGCUGAGGCAUAGGGAAUGACUUUCAUUCUCUCUCUAUCUUCUGCCGUGGUCGGGCUUUGAGUCUUACUCAAUUUCACACCUUGUAACACAGGUAAGAACUCUUUCUUUGACUGUUCCAUUUUGAAUUACUUCAAAAUCUUGUCAAGGUAUGCACUCAUUGAAAAAACUUAUCAAGCGUAUUAAUCUAUCUCUAUAGAUCUUGAUGCUCAAUAUGUAAGCAGCUUCACCGAGGUCUUUCUUUGAAAAACUCCUUUCAAACAUUCCUUUAUGCUUUGCAGAAUAAUUCUACAUUAUCUCCGAUCAACAAUAUGUCAUUCACAUAUACUUAUCAGAAAUGUUGUAGUGCUCCCACUCACUUUCUUGUAAAUACAGGCUUUGCCACAAGUCUGUAUAAAAUUAUAUGCUUUGAUCAACUUAUCAAAGCGUAUAUUCCAACUCUGAGAUGCUUGCACCAGUCCAUAGAUGGAUCGCUGGAGCUUGCAUAUUUUGUUAGUACCUUUAGGAUUGACAUAACUUUCUGGUUGCAUCAUAUACAACUCUUCUUUAAUAAAUCCAUUAAGGAAUGCAAUUUUGUUUAUCCACUUGCCACAUUUCAUAAAAUGCGGUAAUUGCUAACAUGAUUCGGACAGACUUAAGCAUAGAUACGAGUGUGAAACUCUCAUCGUAGUCAACACCUUGAACUUGUCGAAAACCUUUUGCGACAAUUCUAGCUUUGUAGAUAGUAACACUACUAUCAGCGUCCGUCUUCCUCUUGAAGAUCCAUUUAAUCUCAGUGACUCGCCGAUCAUUGGGCAAGUCAAUCAAAGUCCAUACUUUGUUCUCAUACAUGGAUCUCAUCUCAGAUUUCAUGGCCUCAAACCAUUUUGCGGAAUCUGGGCUCAUCAUCGCUUCCUCAUAGUUCGUAGGUUCGUCAUGGUCAAGUAACAUGACCUCUAGAAUAGGAUUACUGUACCACUCUGGUGCGGAUCUCACUCUGGUUUACCUACAAGGUUUGGUAGUAACUUGAUCUGAAGUUACAUGAUCAUCAUCAUUAGCUUCCUCACUAAUUGGUGUAGUAGUCACAGGAACAAAUUUCUGUGAUGAACUACUUUCCAAUAAGGGAGCAGGUACAGUUACCUCAUCAAGUUCUACUUUCCUCCCACUCACUUCUUUCGAGAGAAACUCCUUUUCUAGAAAGGAUCCAUUCAAAGCAACGAAUAUACUGCCUUCGGAUCUGUGAUAGAAGGUGUACCCAACAUUUUCUUUUGGGUAUCCUAUGAAGACGCACUUCUCCGAUUUGGGUUAGAGCUUAUCGGGUUGAAACUUUUUCACAUAAGCAUUGCAACCUCAAACUUUUAAGAAACGACAGCUUAGGUUUCUUGCCAAACCAUAGUUCAUACGGUGUCGUCUCAACGGAUUUAGAUGGUGCCCUAUUUAACGUGAAUGCAGCUGUCUCUAGUGCAUAACCCCAAAAUGAUAGUGGUAGAUCGGUAAGAGACAUCAUAGAUCGCACCAUAUCUAAUAAAGUACGGUUAUGAUGUUCGGACACACCAUUACACUGUGGUGUUCCAGGUGGCGUGAGUAGUGAAAGUAUUUCACAUUGUUUUUAACUGAAGGCCAAACUCGUAACUCAAAUAUUUUACUUCUGCGAUCAUAUCAUAGAAACUUUUAUUUUUGUUACGAUGAUUAUCCACUUCAUUCUGAAAUUCUUUGAACUUUUCAAAUGUUUCAGACUUGUGUUUCAUCAAGUAGAUAUACUCAUAUCUGCUCAAAUCUUCUGUGAAGAUCAGAAAAUAAUGAUACCUGCCAUGAGCCUCAAUAUUCAUCGGACCACAUACAUCAGUAUGUAUGAUUUACAACAAAUCUGUUGCUCGCUCCAUUGUUCCGGAGAACGGAGUCUUAGUUAUCUUGCCCAUGAGGCAUGGUUCGCAAGCAUCAACUGAUUCAUAAUCAAGUGAUUCCAAAAGCCCAUCAACAUGGAUUUUCUUCAUGCGCUUUACACCAAUAUGACCUAAACGGCAGUGCCAAAAAUAAGUUGCACCAUCAUUAUUAACUUUGCAUCUUUUGGUUUCAAUAUUGUGAAUAUGUGUAUCACUACGGUCGAGAUCCAACGAACCAUUUUCAUUGGGUGUGUAACCAUAUAAGGUUUUAUUCAUGUAAACAGAACAACAAUUUAUUCUCUUACUUAAAUGAAUAACCGUAUUGCAAUAAACAUGAUCAAAUCAUAUUCAUGCUCAACGCAAACACCAAAUAACACUUAUUUAGGUUCAACACUAAUCCCAAAAGUAUAGGGAGUGUGCGAUGAUGAUCAUAUCAAUCUUGGAACCACUUCCAACACACAUCGUCACUUCACCCUUAACUAGUCUAUGUUCAUUCUGCAACUCCCGUUUUGAGUUACUGCUCUUAGCAACUGAACCAGUAUCAAAUACCGAGGGUUUGCUAUGAACACUAGUAAAAUACACAUCAAUAAUCUGUAUAUCAAAUAUACCUUUGUUCACUUUGCCAUCCUUCUUAUCCGCCAAAUACUUGGGGCAGUUCCGCUUCCAGUGACCAGUCCCUUUGCAGUAGAAGCACUUAGUCUUAGGCUUAGGACCAGACUUGGGCUUCUUCACUUGAGCAACAACUUGCUUGCCAUUCUUAUUGAAGUUCCCCUUCUUCCCUUUGCCCUUUUCUUGAAACUAGUGGUCUUGUCUACCAUCAACACUUGAUAUUUUUCUUGAUUUCUACUUUCGUUGAUUUCAGCAUUACGAAGAGCUUGGGAAUCGUUUCCGUUAUCCCUUGCAUAUCAUAGUUCAUCACGAAGUUCUACUAACUUGGUGAUGGUGACUAGAGAAUUCUGUCAAUCACUAUUUUAUCUGGAAGAUUGACUCCCACUUGAUUCAAGUGAUUGUAGUACCCAGACAAUCUGAGCACAUGUUCACUACCUGAGCUAUUCUCCUCCAUUUUUUAGCUAUAGAACUUGCUGGAGACUUCAUAUCUCUCAACUCGGGUAUUUGCUUGAAAUAUUAACUUCAACUCCUGGAACAUCUCAUAUGGUCCAUGACGUUCAAAACAUCUUUGAAGUCCCGAUUCUAAGCCGUUUAAGCAUGGUGCACUAAACUAUCAAGUAGUCAUCAUAUUGAGCUAGCCAAAUGUUCAUAACAUCUGCAUCUACUCCUGCAAUAGGUUUGUCACCUAGCGGUGCAUCAAAGACAUAAUUCUUCUGUGCAGCAAUGAGGAUAAACCUCAGAUCAUGGAUCCAAUCCGCAUCAUUGCUACUAACAUCUUUCAACUUAGUUUUCUCUAGGAACACAUCAAAAAUAAAAGAGGGGAGCUAAAUGCGAGCUAUUGAUCUACAACAUAGAUAUGCUAAUACUACUAGGACUAAGUUCAUGAUAAAUUAAAGUUCAAUUAAUCAUAUUACUUAAGAACUCCCACUUAGAUAGACAUCCCUCUAAUCCUCUAAGUGAUCCCGUGAUCCAAAUCAACUAAACCAUGUCCGAUCAUCACGUGAGAUGGAGUAGUUUCAAUGGUGAACAUCACUAUGUUGAUCAUAUCUACUAUAUGAUUCACGCUCGACCUUUCGGUCUCCGUGUUCCGAGGCCAUAUAUGUUAUAUGCUAGGCUCGUCAAGUUUAACCUGAGUAUUCCGCGUGUGCAACUGUUUUGCACCCGUUGUAUUUGAACGUAGAGCCUAUCACACCCGAUCAUCACGUGGUGUCUCAGCACGAAGAACUUUCGCAACGGUGCAUACUCAGGGAGAACACUUGUACCUUGAUAAUUAAUGAGAGAUCAUCUUAUAAAGCUACCAUUGAACUAAGCAAAAUAAGAUGUAUAAAAGAUAAACAUCACAUGCAAUCAAAAUAUGUGACAUGAUAUGGCCAUCAUCAUCUUGUGCCUUUGAUCUCCAUCUCCAAAGCAUCGUCAUGAUCUCCAUCGUCACCGGCAUGACACCAUGAUCUCUAUCAUCUUGAUCUAUAUCAAUGUGUCGUCACAUGGUUGUCUCGCCAACAAUUGCUCUUGCAACUAUUGCUAUCGCACAACGAUAAAGUAAAGCAAUUAUUUGGCGCUUGCAUCUUAUGUGAUAGAGAGACAACCACAAGGCUUCUGCCAGUUGCCGAUAACUUCAACAAAACAUGCUCAUCUUAUACAACAACUUAUAUCUUAUCACAUCUUGACCAUAUCACAUCACAACAUGCCCUGCAAAAACAAGUUAGACGCCCUCUACUUUGUUGUUGCAAGUUUUACGUGAUCACUUAGAGGAUUAGAGGGAUUUUCAAAGGAAGACCUGGAUAAAGCUGCUUACAUAUUGGGCAUCAAGAUCUAUAGAGAUAGAUCAAAACGCCUGAUGAUACUUUCAAAGAACGCACACCUUGACAUGUUUUUGAAGGAGUUCAAAAUAGAUCAGUCAAAGAAGGGGUUCUUACUUGAGUUGUAAGGUGUGAAGUUGAGUAAGACUCAAAGCUUGACCACGACAGAAGAAAGAGGAAGGACGAAGGUCGUCCCCUAUGCUCUUGUCAUAGGAUCUAUACGGUAUGCCAUGCUAAGUACCGCACCUGAUGUGUGCCUUCCCACAUGUCUGGCAAGAGGGUACAAAGGUGAUCUAGGACUGGAUCACCAGAUAGCGGUCAAAAUUGUCCUUAGAGGAAUAAGGAAAUAUUUCUCGGUUAUGGAGGUGAUAAAGAGUUCGACGUAAAGAGUUACAUCGAUGCAAGCUUAACACCUAUCCGGAUAGCUCUGGGUAGAGAUACCAGAUACGUAUAAUGGAGCAACAAUUUGGAAUAGCUCCCAGUGGAACGUGGUAGCAGCAUCUAUGAUAUGACAUAAAGUUUUGCGAAAUACAUAGGGAUCUAAAUAUGGCAAGACCCGUUGACUACAACCUCUCUCACAAGCAUAACAUGAUCAAACCCAGAACUCAUUGAGUGUUAAUCACAUAGUGAUGUGAACUAGAUUAUUGAGUCUAGUAAACUCUUUGGAUGUUGGUCACAUGGCGAUGUGACCUGUGAGUGUUAAUCACAUGGCGAUGUGAACUAGAUUAUUGACUCUAGUGCAAGUGGGAGACUGUUGGAAAUAUGCCCUAGAGGCAAUAAUAAAUUGGUUAUUAUUAUAUUUCCUUGUUCAUGAUAAUCGCUUAUUAUCCAUGCUAGAAUUGUAUUGAUAGGAAACUCAGAUACAUGUGUGGAUACAUAGACAACACCAUGUCCCUAGUAAGCCUCUAGUUGACUAGCUUGUUGAUCAAUAGAUGGUUACGGUUUCCUGACCAUGGACAUUGGAUGUCAUUGAUAACGGGAUCACAUCAUUAGGAGAAUGAUGUGAUGGACAAGACCCAAUCCUAAGCCUAGCACAAGAUUGUGUAGUUUGUUUGCUAAAGCUUUUCUAAUGUCAAGUAUCAUUUCCUUAGACCAUGAGAUUGUGCAACUCCCGGAUACCAUAGGAGUGCUUUGGGUGUGCCAAAUGUCACAACGUAACUGGGUGGCUAUAAAGGUACACUACAAGUAUCUCCGAAAGUGUCUGUUGGGUUGGCACGAAUCGAGACUGGGAUUUGUCACUCCGUGUAAACGGAGAGGUAUCUCUGGGCCCACUCGAUAGGACAUCAUCAUAAUGUGCACAAUGUGACCAAGGAGUUGAUCACGGGAUGAUGUGUUACAGAACGAGUAAAGAGACUUGCCGGUAACGAGAUUGAACAAGGUAUCAGGAUAUCGACGAUCAAAUCUCGGGCAAGUAUCAUACCGCUAGACAAAGGGAAUUGUAUACGGGAUUGAUUAAGUCCUUGACAUUGUGGUUCAUCCGAUGAGAUCAUCGUGGAGCAUGUGGGAGCCAACAUGGGUAUCCAGAUCCCGUUGUUGGUUAUUGACCGGAGAGUUGUCUCGGUCAUGUCUGCAUGACUCCCGAACCCGUAGGGUCUACACACUUAAGGUUCGAUGACGCUAGGGUUAUAGGGAAAGUAUGUACGCGGUUACCGAAUGUUGUUCGGAGUCCCGGAUGAGAUCCCGGACAUCACGAGGAGUUCCAGAAUGGUCCGGAGGUAAAGAUUUAUAUAUGGGAAGUCCUGUUUUGGUCACCAGAAAAGUUUCGGGUGCUAUCGGUAACGUAUCGGGACCAUCGGGAGGGUCCCGGGGGUCCACCAGGUGGGGCUACUUGCCCCAGAGGGCUGCGUGGGCCAAGUGUGAGAGGGGGCCAGCCCCAGGUGGGCUGGUGCGCCCCCCACCAGGGCCCAAGGCAAAGAGAGAAGGGAAAAGGGGGAAACCCUAGGCUCAAAUGGGCCUAAGGCCCACCUAGUGGUGCACCCCCCUCUCUCCCCCCUUGGCCGCCCCUAGAUGGGAUCUAGGGCUGGCCGCCACCCCUAGGGAGGGAACCCUAGGUGGGGGCGCAGCCCCUCCCCUCCCCCUAUAUAUACUUGAGCAAAGGGGCAGCCCAAGAUACGAUUCAAUCUCCCUGUUGGUGCAGCCCUACCCCUCUUCCUCCUCGUCUCUCGUAGUGCUUGGCAAAGCCCUGUUGGAUUCCCGUGCUCCUCCACCACCACCAUGCCGUCGUGCUGCUGCUGGAUGGAGUCUUCCCCAACCUCUCCUUAUCCCCUUGCUGGAUCAAGGCGUAGGAGACGUCACCGGGCUGUACAUGUGUUGAGCACGGAGGUGCCGUCCGUUCGGCACUACGAUCAUCGGUGAUUUGAAUCACGACGAGUAUGACUCCAUCAACCCCGUUCACUUGAACGCUUCCGCUUAGCAAUCUACAAGGGUAUGUAGAUGCACUCUCCUUCCCCUCGUUGCUAGAUUACUCCAUAGAUUGAUCUUGGUGAUGCGUAGAAAAUUUUGAAUUUCUGCUACGAUCCCCAACAGUGGUAUCAGAGCCAGGUCUGUGCGUAGUUUCUAUGCACGAGUAGAACACAAAGCAGUUGUGGGCGUCGAUAUUGUCAAUUACUUGCCGUUACUAGUCUUAUCUUGAUUCGGCGGCAUCGUGGGAUGAAGCAGCCCGGACCGACCUUACACGUACGCUUACGUGAGACUGGUUCCACCGACUGACAUGCACUAGUUGCAUAAGGUGGCUAGCGGGUGUCUGUUUCUCCCACUUUAGUCGGAUCGGAUUCGAUGAAAAGGGUCCUUAUGAAGGGUAAAUAGAAAUUGGCAUAUCACGUUGUGGUUUUCGCGUAGGUAAGAAACGUUCUUGCUAGAAACCUAUAGCAGCCACGUAAAUACUUGCAACAACAAUUAGAUGACGUCUAACUUGUUUUUGCAGCAUAUGCCUUGUGAUGUGAUAUGGCCAAAAGGAUGUGAUGAAUGAUAUAUGUGAUGUAUGAGAUUGAUCAUGUUCUUGUAAUAGGAAUCACGACUUGCAUGUCGAUGAGUAUGACAACCGGCAGGAGCCAUAGGAGUUGUCUUAAUUUAUUUAUGACCUGCGUGUCAACAUAAACGUCGUGUAAUUACUUUACUUUAUUGCUAAAGCGUUAGCCAUAGUAGUAGAAGUAAUAGAUGAUGAGACAACUUCAAGAAGACACGAUGAUGGAGAUCAUGAUGAUGGAGAUCAUGGUGUCAUGCCGGUGACAACGAUGAUCAUGGAGCCCCGAAGAUGGAGAUCAAAAGGAGCAAAAUGAUAUUGGCCAUAUCAUGUCACUAUUUGAUUGCAUGUGAUGUUUAUCAUGUUUUACAUCUUAUUUGCUUAGAACGACGGUAGCUUAAAUAAGAUGAUCCCUCACUAAAAUUUCAAGAAAGGUGUUCCCCCUAACUGUGCACCGUUGCGAAAGUUCGUCGUUUCGAAGCACCACGUGAUGAUCGGGUGUGAUAGAUUCUAACGUUCGAAUACAACGGGUGUAAGCCAGAUUUAUACACGCAAUACACUUAGGUUGACUUGACGAGCCUAGCAUGUACAGACAUGGCCUCGGAACACGGAAGACCGAAAGGUCGAGCAUGAGUCGUAUAGAAGAUAUGAUCAACAUGAAGAUGUUCACCGAUGUUGACUAGUCCGUCUCACAUGAUGAUCGGACACGGCCUAGUUGACUCGGAUCAUGUUUCACUUAGAUGACUAGAGGGAUGUCUAUCUGAGUGGGAGUUCAUUAGAUGAACUCAAUUAUCAUGAACAUAGUCUGAAUUGUCUUCGCAAAUAUGUUGUAGAUAAAUAGCUCACGUUGUAGCUCCCUGUUUCAAUACAUUCCUAGAGAAAGAUUAAGUUGAAAGAUAUUGUAAGCAAUGAUGCGGACUAGGUCCGUAGUCCGAGGAGUGUCCUCACUGCUACACAGAAGGCUUACGUCUUUGAUGCACCGCUCGAUGUGCAAACCCCUACAACGUCGUCUGUGGAUGUUGUGAACACCUGACAGACACAUCCUGAUGACUACUUGAUAGUUUAGUGCACCAUACUUUACGGCUUAGAAUCGGGAUUCCAAUGACAUUUUGAACGCCAUAGAACAUAUGAGAUGUUCCAAGAGCUGAAAUCGGGAUUUCAGGCUCAUGCCCGUGUUGAGAGGUGUGAGACCUCUGACAAGUUCUUUUGCCAACAAGAUGGAGGAGAAUAGCUCAGCUAAUGAGCAUGUGCUCAGAAUGUCUGGGUGCUACAAUCACUUAAAUCAAGUGGGAGUUAAACUUCCGGAUAAGAUAGUGAUUGAUAGAGUUCUCUAGCCACUAUCACUAAGCUACUAGAUCUUCGUGAUGAACUAUGACAUGCAAGGGAUGGAGUUGAUCCCGGAGCUGUUCGCGGUGCUUAAGACCGCAAAAGGUAGAAAUCAAGAAGGAGCAUCAAGUGUUGAUGGUUUAACAAGACCACUGGUUUCAAGAAGGGCAAGGGCUAGAAGGGAAACUUCAUGGAUGGCAAACCAGUUGCCGCUCCAGUGAAGGAACCCAAGGUUGAACCCAAACCCGAGACUAAGUGCUUCUAUUGUAAGGGGAACGGUCACUGGUAGCAGAAUUACCCCAAAUGCAUGGUAGAUAAGAAGGCUGGCAACUUCAACAAAGUAUAUACGUGUUAUUAAUGUGUACCUCACUAGUACUCCUGGUAGCAUCUAGGUAUUGGAUACCAGUUCAGUUGCUAUUAUUGGUGACUUGAAGCAAAAGCUACGGACUAAACGGAGACUGUCUAAGGGCGAGGUGACGAUGUGUGUUGGAAGUGUUUCCAAAGUUGAUGAGAUCACCAUCACACGCUCCAUCUGCCUUAGGGAUUAGUAUUGAACCUAGAUAAAUGUUAUCAGGUGUCUACGUUGAGCAUGUAUAUGAUUAGAUCAUGUUCAUUGCAAUACGGUUAUUCAUUUAAGUUAGAGAAUACUGGUUAUUCUGUUUACAUGAAUAAUACCUUUCAUGGUCAUGCACCCUAUGUGAAUGGUUCAUUGAAUCUCGGUCGUGGUAAUACACAUGUUCACGCCAAAAGAUGUAGAGUUAAUAAUGAUAGUACCACUUUCUUGUGGCACUGCCGCUUAGGUCAUAUUGGCGUAAGAUGCAUGAAGAAACUCCAUGUCGAUGGAUGUUUGGAGUCACUUGAUUUUGAAUCGCUUGACACAUGCGAGCCAUGCCUCAUAGGCAGGAUGACUAAGACCCCGUUUUCAGGUACAAACUUGUUGGAAAUCAUACAUGCUGAUGCGUGUGAUCCAAUGAGAAUUGAAGCGUGCGGUGCAUAUCGCUAUUUUCUCAUCUUCACUAACGAUUUGAGUAGAUAUAGGUAUAUUUACUUAAUGAAGCACAAGUCUGAAACGUUUGAAAAGUUCAAGCGAUUUCAGAGUGAAGUUAAGAAUCAUCAUAACAAGAAGACCAAAUUCCUACGAUCUGAUCAAUGAGAAUUUCUGAGUUAUGAGUUUGGCAAACACUUAAGACAUUGUGGAAUUGUUUCACAGUUGAAGCCACCUAGAACACCACAGGGUAAUGGUGUGUCCGGACGUCGUAAUCGAACCUUAUGAGAUAUGGUGCGAUCUAUGAUGUCUCUUACCGAUCUACCGUUUUCAUUUUGAGGUUAUGCGUUAGAGACAGCUGCAUUCAUUUUAGAUAGGACACCAUCUAAGUCCGUUGAGACGAUGUCGUAUGAACAUUGGUUUGGCAAGAAACCAAAGUUGUUGUUUCUUAAUGUUUGGGGCUGCGAUGCUUAAGGCUUCAGCCAGAGAAGCUCAAACCCAAAGCAGGCAAACACAUCUUCAUAGGAUACCCAAAGGUGACAGUUGGGUAUACCUUCUUCAGAUCCAAGGGCAAAUUGUUUGUCGCUAAGAACGGGUCCUUUCUCGAGAAGGAGUUUCUCUCGAAAGAAUUGAGUGGGAGGAAGAUAGAACUUGAUGAGGUUGUCGAACCUUUACUUCAACCAGAGAGUGAUGCAACAUAGAAAGAUGGUUUCUGUGGCGCCUAUGUCUGUUGAAUAGGAAGUUAAUGAUAGUGAUCAAGAAGCUUCGGAUCAAGUUGCUAUCGAACCUCGUAGGUCGACAAGGAUAUGUACUACUCCUAAGUGGUACGGUAAUCCUGUCUUAGAUAUCAUGUUGUUAGACAACAAUGAACCUACGAGCUAUGGAGAAGCGAUGGUGGGCCCGUAUUCCGACAAAUGGUUAGAAGCCAUGAAAUCCGAGAUAGGAUCCAUGUAUCAGAACAAAAUAUGGACUUUGGUGGACUUGCCCGUUGAUCGGCAAGCCAUUGAGAUAAAUGGAUCUUUAAGAAGAAGACGGACGUGGGCGGUAAUGUCACCUUCUAUAAAGCUCGACUUGUGGGAAAGAGUCUUUUUCACAAGUUCAAGGAGUUGACUACAAUGAGAAUUUCUCACCCGUAGCGAUGCUUAAGUCCGUCGGAAUCAUGUUAGCAUUAGCUGUAUUUUUCGAUUAUGAAAUCUGACAGAUGGAUGUCAAAACAAGUUUUCUUACCAGUUUUUGUAAGAAAGAGUUGUAUGUGAUACAAUCAAAGUUUUUGUCGAUCCUAAGGAUGCUAAAAGGUUUGCUAGCUCUAGCGAUCCGUCUAUGAACUAGAGCGAGCAUCUCGGAGUCGGAAUAUAUGCUUUGAUGGAGUGAUCAAAGCUUUUAGGUUUAUACAAUGUUUGCUAGAAACUUGUAUUUACAAGAAAGUGAGUGGGAGCACUACAACAUUUCUGAUAAGUAUAUGUGGAUGACAUAUUGUUGAUCCGAAAUAAUGUAGAAUUUCUGGAAAGCAUAAACGGUUGUUUGAAGAGUGAUUUUCAAAGGAAGACCUGGAUAAAGCUGCUUACAUAUUGGGCAUCAAGAUCUAUAGAGAUAGAUCAAAACGCCUGAUGAUACUUUCAAAGAAUGCACACCUUGACAUGUUUUUGAAGGAGUUCAAAAUAGAUCAGUCAAAGAAGGGGUUCUUACCUGAGUUGUAAGGUGUGAAGUUGAGUAAGACUCAAAGCUUGACCACGGCAGAAGAAAGAGGAAGGACGAAGGUCGUCCCCUAUGCUCUUGUCAUAGGAUCUAUACGGUAUGCCAUGCUAAGUACCGCACCUGAUGUGUGCCUUGCCACAUGUCUGGCAAGAGGGUACAAAGGUGAUCUAGGACUGGAUCACCAGAUAGCGGUCAAAAUUGUCCUUAGAGGAAUAAGGAAAUAUUUCUCGGUUAUGGAGGUGAUAAAGAGUUCGACGUAAAGAGUUACGUCGAUGCAAGCUUAACACCUAUCCGGAUAGCUCUGGGUAGAGAUACCAGAUACAUAUAAUGGAGCAACAAUUUGGAAUAGCUCCAAGUGGAACGUGGUAGCAGCAUCUACGAUAUGACAUAAAGUUUUGCGAAAUACAUAGGGAUCUGAAUAUGGCAAGACCCGUUGACUACAACCUCUCUCACAAGCAUAACAUGAUCAAACCCAGAACUCAUUGAGUGUUAAUCACAUAGUGAUGUGAACUAGAUUAUUGAGUCUAGUAAACUCUUUGGAUGUUGGUCACAAGGCGAUGUGACCUGUGAGUGUUAAUCACAUGGCGAUGUGAACUAGAUUAUUGACUCUAGUGCAAGUGGGAGACUGUUGGAAAUAUGUCCUAGAGGCAAUAAUAAAUUGGUUAUUAUUAUAUUUCCUUGUUCAUGAUAAUCGCUUAUUAUCCAUGCUAGAAUUGUAUUGAUAGGAAACUCAGAUACAUGUGUGGAUAAAUAGACAACACCAUGUCCCUAGUAAGCCUCUAGUUGACUAGCUUGUUGAUCAAUAGAUGGUUACGGUUUCCUGACCAUGGACAUUGGAUGUCAUUGAUAAUGGGAUCACAUCAUUAGGAGAAUGAUGUGAUGGACAAGACCCAAUCCUAAGCCUAGCACAAGAUCGUGUAGUUCGUUUGCUAAAGCUUUUCUAAUGUCAAGUAUCAUUUCCUUAGACCAUGAGAUUGUGCAACUCCCGGAUACCGUAGGAGUGCUUUGGGUGUGCCAAACGUCACAACGUAACUGGGUGGCUAUAAAGGUACACUACAGGUAUCUCCGAAAGUGUCUGUUGGGUUGGCAUGAAUCGAGACUGGGAUUUGUCACUCCAUGUAAACAGAGAGGUAUCUCUGGGCCCACUCGGUAGGACAUCAUCAUAAUUUGCACAAUAUGAUCAAGGAGUUGAUCAUGGGAUGAUGUGUUACGGAACGAGUAAAGAGACUUGCCGGUAACGAGAUUGAACAAGGUAUCAGGAUACCGACGAUCGAAUCUCGGGCAAGUAUCGUACCGCUAGACAAAGGGAAUUGUAUACGGGAUUGAUUAAGUCCUUGGCAUCAUGGUUCAUCCAAUGAGAUCAUCGUGGAGCAUGUGGGAGCCAACAUGGGUAUCCAGAUCCCGUUGUUGGUUAUUGACCGGAGAGUUGUCUCGGUCAUGUCUGCAUGACUCCCGAACCCGUAGGGUCUACACACUUAAGGUUUGAUGACGCUAGGGUUAUAGGGAAAGUAUGUACGCGGUUAUCGAAUGUUGUUCGGAGUCCCGGAUGAGAUCCCGGACAUCACGAGGAGUUCCGGAAUGGUCCGGAGGUAAAGAUUUAUAUAUGGGAAGUCCUGUUUUGGUCACCGGAAAAUUUUCGGGUGCUAUCGGUAACGUACCGGGACCACCGGGAGGGUCCCGGGGGUCCACCAGGUGGGGCUACCUGCCCCAGAGGGCUGCGUGGGCCAAGUGUGAGAGGGGGCCAGCCCCAGGUGGGCUGGUGCGCCCCCACCAGGGCCCAAGGCAAAGAGAGAAGGGAAAAGGGGGAAACCCUAGGCUCAGAUGGGCCUAAGGCCCACCUAGUGGUGCACCCCCCUCUCUCCCCCCUUGGCCGCCCCCUAGAUGGGAUCUAGGGCUGGCCGCCACCCCUAGGGAGGGAACCCUAGGUGGGGGCGCAGCCCCUCCCCUCCCCCUAUAUAUACUUGAGCAAAGGGGCAGCCCAAGAUACGAUUCAAUCUCCCUGUUGGCGCAGCCCUACCCCUCUUCCUCCUCGUCUCUCGUAGUGCUUGGACGUAGCCCUGCUGGAGUCCCGUGCUCCUCCACCACCACCACGCCGUCGUGCUGCUGCUGGAUGGAGUCUUCCCCAACCUCUCCUUCUCCCCUUGCUGGAUCAAGGCAUAGGAGACGUCACCGGGCUGUACGUGUGUUGAACACGGAGGUGCCGUCCGUUCGGCACUAGGAUCAUCGGUGAUUUGAAUCACGACGAGUACGACUCCAUCAAUCCCGUUCACUUGAACACUUCUGCUUAGCGAUCAACAAGGGUAUGUAGAUGCACUCUCCUUUCCCUCGUUGCUAGAUUACUCCAUAUAUUGAUCUUGGUGAUGCGUAGAAAAUUUUGAAUUUCUGCUACGAUCCCCAACAUUAGGUGCCCCUUGGCCACGUAUAUAAAGGAGUGGAGGAGGGGGGAGAGGGCCGGCCCCUAUUGCGCGCCCUGGAGGAGUCCUACUCCCACCGGGAGUAGGAUUCCCCUCCUUCCAAGUAGUAGGAGUAGGAGUCAAGGCAAGGGAAGGGAGAAGAGAAGGAAGGAGGGGGCGCAACCCCUCCCCCUAGUCCAAUUCGGACUAGGCCUUGGGGGGGCGCCCAACCUCUCCUCUCUCUUUCCCCUAAAGCCCAAUAAGGCCCAUAUACUCCCUAGCGAAUUCCCGCAACUCUCCGGUACUCCGAAAAAUACCCGAAUCACUCGGAACCUUUCCGAUGUUCGAAUAUAGUCGUCCAAUAUAUCGAUCUUUACGUCUCGACCAUUUCGAGACUCCUCGUCAUGUCCCCGAUCUCAUCCGGGACUCCGAACUCCUUCAGUACAUCAAAACUCAUAAACUCAUAAUAUAACUGUCAUCGAAACCUUAAGCGUGCGGACCCUACGGGUUCGAGAACUAUGUAGACAUGACCGAGACACGUCUCCGGUCAAUAACCAAUAGUGGAACCUGGAUGUUCAUAUUGGCUCCUACAUAUUCUACGAAGAUCUUUAUCGGUCAGACCGCAUAACAACAUACAUUGUUCCCUUUGUCAUCGGUAUGUUACUUGCCCGAGAUCCGAUUGUCGGUAUCUCAAUACCUAGUUCAAUCUCAUUACCGGCAAGUCUCUUUACUCGUUCUGUAAUACAUCAUCCUGCAACUAACUCAUUAGUUGCAAUUCUUGCAAGGCUUAAGUGAUGUGCAUUACCAAGAGGGCCUAGAGAUACCUCUCCGACAAUCGGAGUGACAAAUCCUAAUCUCGAAAUACGCCAACCCAACAAGUACCUUCGGAGACACCUGUAGAGCACCUUUAUAAUCACCCAGUUACGUUGUGACGUUUGGUAGCACACAAAGUGUUCCUCCGAUAAACGGGAGUUGCAUAAUCUCAUAGUCAUAGGAACAUGUAUAAGUCAUGAAGAAAGCAAUAGCAACAAACUAAACGAUCAAGUGCUAAGCUAACGGAAUGGGUCAAGUCAAUCACAUCAUUCUCUAAUGAUGUGACCCCAUUAAUCAAAUGACAACUCAUGUCUAUGGCUAGGAAACUUAACCAUCUUUGAUUCAACGAGCUAGUCAUGUAGAGGCAUACUAGUGACACUCUGUUUGUCUAUGUAUUCACACAUGUAUUAUGUUUCCGGUUAAUACAAUUCUAGCAUGAAUAAUAAACAUUUAUCAUGAAAUAAGGAAAUAAAUAAUAACUUUAUUAUUGCCUCUAGGGCAUAUUUCCUUCAUGCCCAAAUCUAGGCCGGAUAAGGGGAGGCCCGGGCGCUACCGGUCGCGUCCGCCAUGUCGGACUGAUGAUGGGGUCCCAUAGGAAAACACUCCAAAACCCUGUGGUCUGAAGCUCGUCUCCUCCGUCGGACUGAUGGCGUCACGUGGCGCCGUGAUACGUCUCCAACUUAUCCAUAUUUUUAUUGUUUUAUGCUAUUAUAUUAUCAAUCUUGCAUGCUUUAUAUGUCAUUUUAUAUCUUUUUGUGGACUAGCCUAUUAACUUAGUGCUCAGUGUUAGUUUCCUAUUUUUUUGCAUAUUUCUUUGUUUCGCAAGAAAACCAUACCAAACGAAGUCCAAACAUGAUGCAACUUUACGGUGAUUUUUUUUGACAAGAAGAGAUCCUAAAAGCUUCAUGAGUGAUCUGAAGAUGCACGAGAGAGUGACAAGCUCAAGGGGAACGCCCUAGGGGGCGAUAUUAGCACUUGUGGGACCUACGUGGCUCCGUUUGACCCAAUCUCUGGUCUAUAAAUUCCCUAAAAUCCCCAAACCCCCGAAAUGAGACCUGAAAACAAUUUUAUCGCCGCCACAAGCCUAUGUUCUUUCGCGACCCCAUUUGGAGGCCUUUUUCGAUACUCUGCCGAAGGGGGAAACCAUUGGAGAGGCAAUCUUCAUCAACCUUGUUGCCUCUAUGAUGAUGUAUGAGUAUUCCCACAGGACCUACGGGUCCAUAGUAGUAGCUAGAUGACUUUCUCUCUCUCUCUCUCUCUCUCUCUCUCUCUCUUUCAUCUUCAAUACAAUGAUAUCUUCGAGGAUCUAUUCGAUGUAAUUCUCGCUGUGUGUUUGUUGGGAUCUGAUGAAUUAUGAGUUUAUAAUCAGAUUAUUCAUUGAAAAUAUUUGAGUUUUUUUUCUGAGAUUUAUUUAUGUGUGAUGUUAUAGCAUUGUAUUUCUCUCCGAUCUAUCUAUCUUUUUUGGCUAAUUAGAUCGAUUUAUCUUCAGUGGGAGAGGUGCUUCGUAGUAGGUUUAAUCUUGUGGUGUCCUUACUCUGUGACAUUUUUUUAAUGUCACAAUUUUUUUUUGAAAAGCACAAACAUUUUCUUAUAUGUAACAUAAAUUUUUUAAUGCUACAUGAUUUUUAUUAAUUGCAUAUUUUUUAAAAAAAAUGUCAUAUACAUGAUUUUUAUUGAAUGCUACAAACAUUUUAUAAAUGUUAGCAAACAUUCUUUUUUACAUCCCAUGAAUAUUAUUUAAAUGUGCAUUGAGCGGUUAAAAAAUAAAUCAGUUAUUUUUUAGUAUUUUCCAAAAUAUAAACAAAAGGAAACAUAAAUAAAAAAAUACAUGUGUGACAUUAGCAUGUCGAACCCACAUGACUACUGGGCGGACCCAAUACUGGCUCCCAAGGGUUGUUACUCCAUCAAAGUUCCUCUCGUUAGGGUUUUCCUUCCUCCCGGAGACGAUUCCCAUGCCGCCGUCGAGACCUUCUCCCCCCUUCCCUGACCCCACCUGUGGAACAACUCAAGCUGAGCAAGGGGUGAUCUGGAAUCACCGCCCGACCUUGGUGAUCUUCACAGGUAGGGUUAGGGUUUAGGGUCCUUACCAAUACUCGGUUGGCUCUCAGAUCGGGUUAGGGUUUCGAGUAUGGCAGCGAAUAGCUCGGCAUCGGCAAGGACGUCCGGUGCUGACACAACUGCGGAGAUGGAGAGGAUGAUGGCAGAGCUUGGGCUGAGCGAGGAGGAUCUGGAAGACGUGGUGUACGAUGAGAAGGAGGCGCCGCCGGACUCUGCUAGAUGGAUUGCUGUGGCCCGGGUGAAGGAAAUAUGCCCUAGAGGCAAUAAUAAAGUUAUUAUUUAUUUCCUUAUUUCAUGAUAAAUGUUUAUUAUUCAUGCUAGAAUUGUAUUAACCGGAAAUAUAAUACAUGUGUGAAUACAUAGACAAACAGAGUGUCACUAGUAUGCCUCUACUUGACUAGCUCGUUGACCAAAGAUGGUUAAGUUUCCUAACCAUAGACAUGAGUUGUCAUUUGAUUAACGGGAUCACAUCAUUAGGAGAAUGAUAUGAUUGACUUGACCCAUUCCGUUAGCUUAGCACUUGAUCGUUUAGUUUGUUGCUAUUGCUUUCUUCAUGACUUAUACAUGUUCCUAUGACUAUGAGAUUAUGCAACUCCCGUUUACCGGAGGAACACUUUGUGUUCCACCAAACGUCACAACAUAACUGGGUGAUUAUAAAGGUGCCCUAUAGGUGUCUCCAAAGGUACUUGUUGGGUUGGCGUAUUUCGAGAUUAGGAUUUGUCAUUCUGAUUGUCGGAGAGGUAUCUCUGGGCCCACUCGGUAAUGCACAUCACUAUAAGCCUUGCAAGCAUUGCAACUAAUGAGUUAGUUGCGGGAUGAUGUAUUACACAACGAGUAAAGAGACUUGCCGGUAACGAGAUUGAACUAGGUAUUGAGAUACCGACGAUCGAAUCUCGGGCAAGUAACAUACCGAUGACAAAGGGAACAACGUAUGUUGUUAUGCGGUCUGACCGAUAAAGAUCUUCGUAGAAUAUGUAGGAGCCAAUAUGGGCAUCCAGGUCCCGCUAUUGGUUAUUGACCAGAGAGGUUUCUCGGUCAUGUCUACAUAGUACUCAAACCCGUAGGGUCCGCACGCUUAAUGUUUGUUGACGAUAUAGUACUAUAUGAGUUAUGUAUGUUGAUGACCGAAUGUUGUUCGGAGUCCGGGAUGAGAUCACGGACAUGACGAGGAACUACGGAAUGGUCCGGAGAUAAAUUUUGAUAUAUGGGAUAAUAGUGUUUGGUCACCGGAAGGGUUCCGGAAUUCACCGGAAGGGGUUUCAGAUGUUUCCCGAAAUGUUUGGGUACGAGAACACUUUAUUUGGGCCAAAGGGGAAAGCCCACAAGGUUUUUGGAGUCCAGGGGCCAGACGCCAGGGUCCCUAGUGUCUGGGUCCAAACGCCGGGAACCCUGGCGUCUGGCCCUGGAGUCCGAGAAGGACUCUUGCCUUUCGGGUGAAACCGACUUUGUGGAGGCUUUUACUCCAAGUUUCGACCCCAAGGCUCAACAUAUAAAUAGAGGUGUAGGGCUAGCACCCAAGACACAUCAAGAAACACCAAGCCGUGUGCUGGCAACCCCGUCCCCUCUAGUUUAUCCUUCGUCAUAGUUUUUGUAGUGCUUAGGCGAAGCCCUGCGGAGAUUGUUCAUCACCAACACCGUCACCACGCCGUCGUGCUGCCGAAACUCAUCUACUACUUUGCCCCUCUUGCUGGAUGGAGAAGGCGAGGACGUCACCGAGCCGAACGUGUGCAGAAAAUCGGAGGUGACAUGCUUUCGGUACUUGGAUCGGUCGGACGUGAAGACGUAUGACUACAUCAACCGCGUUGAUAUAAUGCUUCCGCGAAUGGUCUACAAGGGUACAUAGACAACACUCUCCCCUCUCGUUGCUAUGCAUCACCAUGAUCCUGCGUGUGCGUAGGAUUUUUUUUGAAAUUACUACGUUCCCCAACAGUGGCAUCCGAGCCAGGUUUUAUGCGUAGAUGUCACAUGCACGAAUAGAACACAAGUGAGUUGUGGGCGAUAUAAGUCAUACUACUUACCAGCAUGUCAUACUUUGGUUCGGCGGUAUUGUUGGAUGAAGCAGCCCAGACCGACAUUACGCGUACGCUUACGCGAGACUGGUUCUACCGACGUGCUUUGCACACAGGUGGCUGGCGGUGUCAGUUUCUCCAACUUUAGUUGAACCAAGUGUGGGUACACCCGGUCCUUGCGAAGGUUAAAACAGCACCAACUUGACAAACUAUCGUUGUGGUUUUGAUGCGUAGGUAAGAACGGUUCUUUCUAUGCCCGUAGCAGCCACGUAAAACUUGCAACAACAAAGUAGAGGACGUCUAACUUGUUUUUGCAGGGCAUGUUGUGAUGUGAUAUGGUCAAGACAUGAUGCUAAAUUUUAUUGUAUGAGAUGAUCAUGUUUUGUAACCAAGUUAUCGGCAACUGGCAGGAGCCAUAUGGUUGUUGCUUUAUUGUAUGCAAUGCAAUCGCCCUGUAAUGCUUUACUUUAUCACUAAGCGGUAAUGAUAGUCGUGGAAGCAUAAUAUUGGCGAGACGACAAUGAUGCUACGAUGGAGAAUAAGGUGCCGCGCCGGUGAUGAUGGUGAUCAUGAAGGUGCUUCGGAGAUGGAGAUCACAAGCACAAGAUGAUGAUGGGCAUAUCAUAUCACUUAUAUUGAUUGCAUGUGAUGUUUAUCUUUUAUGCAUCUUAUCUUGCUUUAAUUGACUGUAGCAUUAUAAGAUGAUCCCUCACUAAAUUAUCAAAGUAUAAGUGUUCUCCCUGAGUAUGCACCAUUGCGAAAGUUCUUUAUGCUGAGACACCACGUGAUGAUCGGGUGUGAUAGGCUCUACGUUCAAAUACAAUGGGUGCAAAACAGUUGCACACGCGGAAUACUCAGGUUAAACUUGACGAGCCUAGCAUAUAACAGAUAUGGCCUCGGAACACGGAGACCGAAAGGUCGAGCGUGAAUCAUAUAGUAGAUAUGAUCAACAUAGUGAUGUUCACCAUUGAUACUACUCCAUCUCACGUGAUGAUCGGAUAUGGUUUAGUUGAUAUGGAUCACGUGAUCACUUAGAGGAUUAGAGGGAUGUCUAUCUAAGUGGGAGUUCUUAAAUAAUAUGAUUAAAUUGAACUUAAAUUUAUCAUGAACUUAGUACCUGAUAGUAUCUUGCUUGUCUAUGUUGAUUGUAGAUAGAUGGCCCGUGCUGUUGUUCCGUUGAAUUUUAAUGCGUUCCUUGAGAAAGCAAAGUUGAAAGAUGAUGGUAGCAAUUACACGGACUGGGUCCGUAACUUGAGGAUUAUCCUCAUUGCUGCACAGAAGAAUUACGUCCUGGAAGCACCGCUAAGUGCCAAGCCUGCUGCAGGAGCAACACCAGAUGUUAUGAAUGUCUGACAGAGCAAAGCUGAUGACUACUCGAUAGUUCAGUGUGCCAUGCUUUACGGCUUAGAACCGGGUCUUCAACGACGUUUUGAACGUCAUGGAGCAUAUGAGAUGUUCCAGGAGUUGAAGUUAAUAUUUCAAGCAAAUGCCCGGAUUGAGAGAUAUGAAGUCUCCAAUAAGUUCUAUAGCUGCAAGACGGAGGAGAAUAGUUCUGUCAGUGAACAUAUACUCAAAAUGUUUGGGUAUCAUAAUCACUUGAAUAAACUGGGAGUUAAUCUUCCUGUUGAUAGUGUCAUUGACAGAGUUCUUCAAUCACUGCCACCAAGCUACAAAAGCUUCGUAAUGAACUAUAAUAUGCAAGGGAUGAAUAAGACUAUUCCCGAGCUCUUCGCGAUGCUAAAAGCCGCGGAGGUAGAAAUCAAGAAGGAGCAUCAAGUGUUGAUGGUCAAUAAGAUCACCAGUUUCAAGAAAAAGGGCAAAGGGAAGAAGAAGGGGAACUUCAAGAAGAACAGCAAACAAGUUGCUGCACAGGAGAAGAAACCCAAGUCUGGACCUAAGCCUGAGACUGAGUGCUUCUACUGCAAGCAGACUGGUCACUGGAAGUGGAACUGCCCCAAGUAUUUGGCGGAUAAGAAGGAUGACAAAGUGAACAAAGGUAUAUGUGAUAUACAUGUUAUUGAUGUGUACCUUACUAAUGCUCGCAGUAGCACCUGUGUAUUUGAUACUGGUUCUGUUGCUAACAUUUGCAACUCAAAACAGGGGCUACGGAUUAAGCGAAGAUUGGCUAAGGACGAGGUGACGAUGCGCGUGGGAAAUGGUUCCAAAGUCGAUGUGAUCGCGGUCGGCACGCUACCUCUACAUCUACCUUCGGGAUUAGUAUUAGACCUAAAUAAUUGUUAUUUGGUGCCACGUUGAGCGUGAACAUUAUAUCUGGAUCUUGUUUGAUGCGAGACGGUUAUUCAUUUAAAUCAGAGAAUAAUGGUUGUUCUAUUUAUAUGAGUAAUAUCUUUUAUGGUCAUGCACCCUUGAAGAGUGGUCUAUUUUUGCUAAAUCUCGAUAGUGGUGAUACACAUAUUCAUAAUAUUGAAGCCAAAAGAUGUAGAUUUGAUAAUGAUAGUGCAACUUAUUUGUGGCACUGCCGUUUAGGUCAUAUCGGAGUAAAGCGCAUGAAGAAACUCCAUACUGAUGGACUUUUGGAACCACUUGAUUAUGAAUCACUUGGUACUUGCGAACCGUGCCUCAUGGGCAAGAUGACUAAAACGCCGUUCUCCGGAACUAUGGAGAGAGCAACAGAUUUGUUGGAGAUCAUACAUACAGAUGUAUGUGGUCCAAUGAAUGUUGAAGCUCGUGGUGGAUAUCGUUAUUUUCUCACCUUCACAGAUGAUUUAAGCAGAUAUGGGUAUAUCUACUUAAUGAAACAUAAGUCUGAAACAUUUGAAAAGUUCAAAGAAUUUCAGAGUGAAGUUGAAAAUCAUCGUAACAAGAAAAAUAAAGUAUCUACGAUCUGAUCGUGGAGGAGAAUAUUUGAGUUAUGAGUUUGGUCUUCAUUUGAAACAAUGCGGAAUAGUUUCACAACUCACGCAACCUGGAACACCACAGCGAAAUGGUGUGUCCGAACGUCGUAAUCGUACUUUACUAGAUAUGGUGCGAUCUAUGAUGUCUCUUACUGAUUUACCGCUAUCGUUUUGGGGAUAUGCUUUAGAGACGGCCGCAUUCACCUUAAAUAGGGCACCAUCGAAAUCCGUUGAGACGACGCCUUAUGAACUAUAGUUUGGUAAGAAACCAAAGUUGUCGUUUUUGAAAGUUUGGGGCUGCGAUGCUUAUGUGAAAAAGCUUCAACCUGAUAAGCUCGAACCCAAAUCAGAGAAAUGUGUCUUCAUAGGAUACCCAAAGGAGACUGUUGGGUACACCUUCUAUCACAGAUCCGAAGGCAAGACUUUUGUUGCUAAAUUCGGAGUUUUUCUAGAGAAGGAGUUUCUCUCGAAAGAAGUGAGUGGGAGGAAAGUAGAACUUGAUGAGGUAAUUGUACCUGCUCCCUUAUUGGAAAGUGGUUCAUCACAGAAAAUGGUUUCUGCGACACCUACACCAAUUAGUGAAGAAGUUAAUGAUGAUGAUCAUGAAACUUUAGAUCAAGUUGUUACUGAACCUCGUAGGUCAACCAGAGUAAGAUCCACACCAGAGUGGUGUGGUAAUCCUGUUCUGGAAGUUAUGUUACUAUACCAUGAUGAACCUACGAACUAUGAAGAAGCGAUGGUGAGUCCAGAUUCUGCAAAAUGGCUUGAGGCCAUGAAAUCUGAGAUGGGAUCCAUGUAUGAGAACAAAGUGUGGAAUUUGGUUGACUUGCCCGUUGAUCGGCAAGCAAUUGAGAAUAAAUGGAUCUUCAAGAAGAAGACUGACGCUGACGGUAAUGUUACUAUUUAUAAAGCUCAACUUGUUGCAAAAGGUUUUCGACAAGUUUAAGGGAUUGACUACGAUGAGACAUUCUCACCCGUAGCGAUGCUUAAGUCUGUCCGAAUCAUGUUAGCAAUUGCCACAUUUUAUGAUUAUGAAAUUUGGCAAAUGAAUGUCAAAACUGCAUUCCUGAAUGGAUUUCUGGAAGAAGAGUUGUAUAUGAUGCAACCAGAAGGUUUUGUCGAUCCAAAGGGAGCUAACAAAGUGUGCAAGCUCCAGCGAUCCAUUUAUGGACUGGUGCAAGCCUCUCGGAGUUGGAAUAAACGCUUUGAUAGUGUGAUCAAAGCAUUUGGUUUUAUACAGACUUUUGGAGAAGCCUGUAUUUACAAGAAAGUGAGUGGGAGCUCUGUAGAAUUUCUGAUAUUAUAUGUGGAUGACAUAUUACUAAUUGGAAAUGAUAUAUAAUUUCUGGAUAGCAUAAAGGGAUACUUGAAUAAAAGUUUUUCUAUGAAAGACCUCGGUGAAGCUGCUUACAUAUUGGGCAUCAAGAUCUAUAGAGAUAGAUCAAGAUGCUUAAUUGGACUUCCACAAAGCACAUACCUUGACAAAGUUUUGAAAAAGUUCAAAAUGGAUCAAGCAAAGAAAGGGUUCUUGCCUGUGUUACAAGGUGUGAAGUUGAGUAAGACUCAAUGCCCGACCACUGCAGAAGAUAGAGAGAAGGUUAAAGAUGUUCCCUAUGCUUCAGCCAUAGGCUCUAUCAUGUAUGCAAUGUUGUGUACCAGACCUGAUGUGUGCCUUGCUAUAAGUCUAGCAAGGAGGUACCAAAGUAAUCCAGGAGUGGAUCACUGGACAGCGGUCAAGAACAUCCUGAAAUACCUGAAAAGGACUAAGGAUAUGUUUCUCAUUUAUGGAGGUGACAAAGAGCUCAUCGUAAAUGGUUAUGUUGACGCAAGCUUUGACACUGAUCCGGACGAUUCUAAAUCGCAAACCGGAUACGUGUUUAUAUUAAAUGGUGGAGCUGUCAGUUGGUGCAGUUCUAAACAAAGCGUCAUGGCGGGAUCUACGUGUGAAGCGGAGUACAUAGCUGCUUCGGAAGCAACAAAUGAAGGAGUCUGGAUGAAGGAGUUCAUAUCUGAUCUAGGUGUCAUACCUAGUGCAUCGGGUCCAAUGAAAAUCUUUUGUGACAAUACUGGUGCAAUUGCCUUGGCGAAGGAAUCCAGAUUUCACAAGAGAACCAAGCACAUCAAGAGAUGCUUCAAUUCCAUCCGGGAUUUAGUCUAGGUGGGAGACAUAGAAAUUUGCAAGAUACAUACAUAUCUGAAUGUUGCAGACCCGUUAACUAAGCCUCUUCCACGAGCAAAACAUGAUCAACACCAAGGCUCCAUGGGUGUUAGAAUCAUUACUGUGUAAUCUAGAUUAUUGACUCUAGUGCAAGUGGGAGACUGAAGGAAAUAUGCCCUAGAGGAAAUAAUAAAGUUAUUAUUUAUUUCCUUAUUUCAUGAUAAAUGUUUAUUAUUCAUGCUAGAAUUGUAUUAACCGGAAACAUAAUACAUGUGUGAAUACAUAGACAAACAGAGUGCCACUAGUAUGCCUCUACUUGACUAGCUCGUUGAUCAAAGAUGGUUAAGUUUCCUAACCAUAGACAUGAGUUGUCAUUUGAUUAACGGGUUCAUAUCAUUAGGAGAAUGAUUUGAUUGACUUGACCCAUUCCAUUAGCUUAGCACUUGAUCGUUUAGUUUGUUGCUAUUGCUUUCUUCAUGACUUAUACAUGUUCCUGUGACUAUGAGAUUAUGCAACUCCCGUUUACCGAAGGAACACUUUGUGUGCCACCAAACAUCACAAGGUAACUGGGUGAUUAUAAAGGUGCUCUAUAGGUGUCUCCAAAGGUACUUGUUGGGUUGGCGUAUUUCGAGAUUAGGAUUUGUCACUCCGAUUGUCGGAGAGGUAUCUCUGGGCCCACUCGGUAAUGCACACCACUAUAAGCCUUGCAAGCAUUGCAGCUAAUGAGUUAGUUGCGGGAUGAUGUAUUACGGAACGAGUAAAGAGACUUGCCGGUAAUGAGAUUGAACUAGGUAUUGAGAUACCGACGAUCGAAUCUCGGGCAAGUAACAUACUGAUGACAAAGGGAACAACGUAUGUUGUUAUGCGGUCUGACCGAUAAAGAUCUUCGUAGAAUAUGUAGGAGCCAAUAUGGGCAUCCAGGACCCGCUAUUGGUUAUUGACCAGAGAGGUUUCUCGGUCAUGUCUACAUAGUUCUCGAACCCGUAGGGUCCGCACGCUUAACGUUCAUUGACGAUAUAGUACUAUAUGAGUUAUGUAUGUUGAUGACCGAAUGUUGUUCGGAGUCCGAGAUGAGAUCACAGACAUGACGAGGAACUCCGGAAUGGUCCGGAGAUAAAGUUUGAUAUAUGGGAUAAUAGUGUUUGGUCACUAGAAGGGUUCCGGAAUUCACCGGAAGGGGUUCCGGAUGUUUCCCGAAAUGUUUGGGUACGAGAGCACUUUAUUUGGGCCAAAGGGGAAAGCCCACAAGGUUUUUGGAAAGCGCAAAAGGAAGUUUUGCGGAGUCCAGGGGCCAGACGCCAGGGUCCCUGGCGUCUGGGUCCAGACACCGGGAACCCUGGCGUCUGGCCCUGGAGUCCGAGAAGGACUCUUGCCUUUCGGGUGAAACCGACUUUGUGGAGGCUUUUACUCCAAGUUUCGACCCCAAGGCUCAACAUAUAAAUAGAGGGGUAGGGAUAGCACCCAAGACACAUCAAGAAACACCAAGCCGUGUGCCGGCAACCCCGUCCCCUCUAGUUUAUCCUCCGUCAUAGUUUUUGUAGUGCUUAGGCGAAGCCCUGCGGAGAUUGUUCAUCACCAACACCGUCACCACGCCGUCGUGCUGCCGGAACUCAUCUACUACUUCGCCCCUCUUGCUGGAUCGAGAAGUCGAGGACGUCACCGAGCCGAACGUGUGCAGAACUCGAAGGUGUCGUGCUUUCGGUACUUGGAUCGGUCGGACGUGAAGACGUACGACUACAUCAACCGCGUUGAUAUAACGCUUCCGCGAACGGUCUAUGAGGGUACAUAGACAACACUCUCCCCUCUCGUUGCUAUGCAUCACCAUGAUCCUGCGUGUGUGUAGGAAUUUUUUUGAAAUUACUACAUUUCCGAACACUGGAUGCAUAUCAAGAAAUCAUACAGUCGGUAUUGGUUCUUUAAAAACAUGCGGGCUGCUUGGGAUCUUGCCCAGGACUGCAAGUUCCGUCUGUUGGAGGAUAACCUUUAUACAGUUCAGUUCCUUUUCUUGGGAGAUUGGGAACGGGUGAUGCAGGAGGGCCCUUGGAACUUCCGUGGGAACGCAGUCAUCCUAGCACAGUAUGAUGGCAUAACACAUCCCUCUAUGGUACCAUUGGACACGCUUGACUUUUGGAUUCAGAUCCAUGACGUGCCGGACAAAUAUGCACACCUGGUUGAUGCUCUUGCUAGCAGGGUGGGGGAAGUCCUAUUCUCAGAAAAGCUUUCCCAAGAUUUUGCAGGCAAUUUUUAUCGGGUGUGGGUUAAAAUUAACGUGCUAAAACCUUUGAAGAAUGUUGUCACAAUGGUGAGAGAUGGCACACGUCAGAUUUAUAGAGUUCGGUAUGAAAAACUUCCGAACUGGUGCGCAGUAUGUGGGCAUCUUGGCCAUUUCAAGGAGCACGGGGAUGGGAUCCAUCCACCAUCGUCUAUGUACUUCAAAGAUCUGCGUGCGUCGUGGGCAAUGCGGACUAGAACAGGCCCUGGAGGGGGUCGUGGUCGCAGGGGGGGGGGGCAGAAGUGCACAAGGAGGACGAACAGCAGCCGAGCCAGCUAAGAAACCGAGGUCAAUGGACAUGGAAAUUGCAAACAGAGAACAGACAGGGUUGGAGGGGGAUAUUGACAUGUCUGAACCGAACAGGAAGCGAGGCGACAGGAAGGACGCAGGCCAAGGCAGCGGUAUCUAACACUAGCUCAAAAUCUUUGACAAUCCUCUAGCGAUUGUGCCAUCAGCUACAAACCCCACGAGUCCCCCUCCCAAGAGGGAGCCGAAGAGAGUUAAAGCUUCUGAAGGAGUCGAGGGAAACAAUGAAACAACAAAACCAACUAAGGCGGGCCCCAAUGACGGGCGCCGCCGGGCCCAAUGAGUCCUUGUGUGGAACUUCCGUGGUGCUGGCAAACCCGCGGCAGUUCGAGAGCUUUGCAAUAUGGCGAAGCAGUUUGCCCCCUCUAUUACAUGCAUUGUUGAAACUCAGUUAGAGGGUAGUCGUGUUGAAAAUUUAGCUGAAACACUUGGUUAUGAUAAAGGUUUUGCUGUUAGUAGCUCUGGCAGGAGCGGUGGUUUAGGCGUGUUUUGGAACGAUUCAAUAAAGGUUGAAAUUAUUGGUUAUUCGGAGUAUCAUGUGGAUGUUGAAGUGGAUUCCUUAUUAGGUGUUGACGCAAGAUUUACCUUUGUAUACGGGGAGGCCCAAGUAAACGAGCGUUUCAAAACUUGGAACAUGAUGAGAGGCAUUGCUAGCUCGAGCUCUCUGCCUUGGGCGACCUUGGGAGAUUUUAAUGAAGUCCUAAGAGCAGAUGAACAUGAUGGUGUAGGCAACAGAAGUCAGGCCCAAAUGGAUGCAUUCCAGGACGCAAUCGACACUUGUGGUUUAGCAGAUAUUGGAUAUCAGGGACUCCAUGGACGUCUGAAAAGAGGGUCACAGGUGGCACCUAUACCAGGGUGAGGCUGGAUCGGUGUGUUGCUUCGCCAGAGUGGUCUUUGGCUUUCCCAUCAGCAAAUCUUGAACACAAGAACACGGCCAACUCGGACCAUGCAGCAAUCCUCCUAACUUUGGCCGAUGAGAAUGCUUUUAAUGUCCGGCCACAAUCCUUUAGGCACGAGCUCAUGUGGGAAUGACACCCAGAUUUUAUGGAUAUGGUAAAUGAGAAUUGGAACAGAUCAUCCGCAGCCACAGUGGGGGAGCUGCAAGAAAAAUUGGAAAACCUCUCUAAAGGAUUGUUAGCCUGGGACAGAACAGAGUUCGGAUCAGUUUUGGCAGAGAUAAAAAAACUAAAAACUGAACUUGAUGCAUUGCGUGCUCAGCCAGGAAGGUCAGGGCCGAAUCAUCUAGAGACGAAGGUGAUGGAUCGAUUGGUGGAACUUUACCACCGUGAAGAGAUCUUGUGGCGCCAGCGGGCUAGAAUUGAGUGGUCAUCUCAUGGGGACAAAAACACUUACUUCUUCCACUUGAGAGCGAGUAGAAGAAGAAGGAAGAAUAAGAUUAAGGCACUCCAACGGCCUGAGGCAGCCUCACGGAGGAUACUAGAGAGAUGGAGGAGAUGGUAAAUUCGUUCUACCAACACUUAUACAACUCUAAGGGAGUUCAUGACAUGGAGAGAGUAAUCGGGACCGUAUCACGGAAAGUCACGGAUGAGAUGAAUGCUCAGCUUGAUACGCCCUACCCACAGCAAGAGGUGAAGGACGCCCUGUUUCAGAUGUUCCCCACGAAAUCACCUGGCCCUGAUGGCUUUCCUGCUCAUUUCUUUCAGAGACAUUGGGGGUGUGUGUGGGGAAGAAGUCACUAAGAUGGUGCUAACUUAGUUGAAGGCAAUGAGUCCCCCGAGUGCAUCAACGAGACUAUCUUAGUUUUGAUCCCAAAGGUAAAGGAGCCGAACCAGUUAACUCAAUUUCGUCCAAUUAGCUUAUGCAAUGUCCUAUAUAAAAUUGCUUCAAAAGUGAUCUCGAACCGUCUGAAAGUGGUCCUUCCUGAGAUUAUCUCCCCGGAGCAGUCGGCCUUUGUCUCGGGCAGGCUUAUCACUGACAAUAUAAUUGCAGCUGAUGAAUGCAUACAUUUCAUGAAGAGAAAUAAGGCGAAGAAAAAUCAGCAUUGUGCUUUGAAACUGGAUAUGACGAAAGCCUAUGAUAGGGUCGAGUGGGCUUACCUUUGAGCUAUUAUGAUUAUACUCGGCUUUACACAGAGAUGGGUGGAUAUCGUCAUGGGCAUGGUCCCGUCGGAGAAAUUCUCGGUAAUGUUUAAUGGUAAGAAGUUGGAACAAUUUAUCCCUUCACUAGGUAUUAAACAGGGAGACCCAAUCUCUCCAUACUUGUUCUUGUUAGCAGCAGAGGGCCUUUCGUGCAUGUUAAAAUCUCGAGAUGAGUCAUCAAACCUUAAUGGAGUACAAGUGGCACCCUCGGCGUCGCAUGUAAACCAUCUUCUUUUUGCAGAUGACAGCCUGCUGUUUUUCAAGGCAAAUAGUGUGGGAGCGAAUGAGGUUAACCAGGUCUUGGAUAUGUAUUGUCAAGCAACGGGCCAACGUAUAAACUAUGAUAAAUCAUCAAUAUUUUUCAGCAAGGGUGUUCCGGGAAGUGUUCGAGAUGAGAUCAAGCAAACACUCCAAGUCCCUAAUGAAUCCCUAAAUGAGAAAUAUUUCGGUAUGCCUUCAGAUGUGGGAUCUUCAAAGAACAGUGCCUUUAAGUUCUUGAAAGACAGAUUAUGGAGUAGAAUACAAGGCUGGAUUGAGAAGACUCUAUCCACAGCAGGCAAGGAAGUACUGGUAAAAUCAGUGGCGCAAGCUAUUCCUGUUUUCUCCAUGUCUUGCUUUAAACUUCCUCGGGGAUUAUGUGAACAUCUCAACAUGCUGAUAAGGAAGUUCUGGUGGGGCAGCAAAGAGGGGCACCGAAAACCUAGUCGGGUUUCUUGGAAGGCGAUGACACAACCCAAGGCUAUGGGUGGAUUAGGCUUCAAGGACUUUGAACUUUUUAACCUCGCAAUGUUAGCUAAACAGGGCUAGAGGAUCUUCCAACAGCCGCACUCGUUGAGCGCUCGGAUUCUAAAAAGUGUGUAUUUCCCAAAUACAACAAUACUUCAAGCCGAGUUGGGCUCCCGGCCAAGUCAAGUAUGGAGAGCGCUUAAAGAAGGUGUUGAUGUUUUGAAACUUGGACUGAUAAAACGCAUCGGUAAUGAUAACAGUACCGAUGUAUGGCUGGACAACUGGAUACCCCAAGAUGAAAUGUUGCGCUCUUAUGGAAGCAAGAUUGUUAAUCCACCCAGGUUAGCUUCAGACUAUUUCAACUUAAGCACCGCCUCAUGGGACAAGCAAAAAGUUGAACAGACUAUUAUGCCUAUGGAUGUUGAAGCUAUCCUAGCGAUUCCUAUAUGCAUCCGCAACUUUGAUGAUUAUUGGGCUUGGCACUUUGAAAGGAAUGGUAAGUUCACAGUCCGGUUAGUGUAUAGAAUGAUGGUGGCCAUACGGAACAGAAGGGGCGCUUGGCUCGAAGGAGUGGCUGGACCCUCGACGACAAGUAAUGAGGAGAAGUCAUGGAAGCAGCUUUGGAACGUGCAGGUACCGGCAAAAAUCAGGAUGUUUCUAUGGCGAUUAGCAAGACAAUCCCUCCCCACUGAGGAUGUUCGAGCUCACCGUAAUAUAUCAACUACUAGCUCAUGUUGCUUCUGUGGCUCGCACGACUCGUGGAGACACUCCCUCCUUGAGUGUUCAGUUGCACGGUGUGUAUGGGCCUUGGAGGACGGCGAAACGGUGGAUUGGAUGAUAGCUACGAAGGAACCAAAUGCAAAACAGUGGCUCUUUACCCUCAUGGCGUCCUUGAGUCAUAGCAGCUUCGUUCGGGUGGCGGCGACUUUGUGGGCCAUCUGGACGGCUCGGCGAAAAUAUAUUACACGAAGGAAUCACCCAAAGCCCGCAGGCCAUCUUCUUGUUCGUCAGCAGCUUCAUCCGAGAGCUAGAAUUGGUUCAUGCAAAGCCACAACGCAAUUUGCAGGGAGCUCCUCGAACAACUCCGGCGGUACAUGCAAGGCCAAAAGCACCUCCGAAGGGAUUUGUGAAGAUCCAUGUGGACGGAGCGGUCUACCGAAAUCGACGUGGGACGGCGGCGGCGGUAUGCCGUGACCAGGCGGGCAAUUAUCUGGGCAGUUCGGCGUUGGUCUUGCCAGGGAUCACCGACCCACCCACAUUGGAGGCGAUUGCUUGUAGAGAAGGACUGGCUUUGGCGGAUGAUCUUCUCUUGAGGAACCUAAUAGUCGCAUCAGACUGCAAGCAGGUUGUUGAUGAUAUCAAGCUUCGUAAUCAGGGUUCUUAUGGUUCGGUGAUUACAGAAAUUUUACUUCGCUCUUCGGACUUUAAUUGUAAUUUUGUUUUUGAAAGUCGUUCUUCAAACGGUGAUGCUCAUAGGUUAGCUAAGUAUGCACUAUCUCUCGAUGUGGGGCACCACGUUUGAUUGGUCAACUCUUACAAUCCGAAUUUUAUACCACUCCAUGUAGAUUUUGAUCAAUAAAGCUUAGCGUUUGCCCUAAAAAAAAAGGUGAGCAGUGCUAUUGCCUCGCAUAAAGCAAGACCUAGCCGCGCCCCAAUCUAUGUCUUUCAAUGGUGUAAUUCGAUAAAAGAAGAGUAUCGGCCUGAUAUGGUCACACUAACCACCCCUAGCCCAAUGUGAUAAUGAAACAUUAACGAGGCCAUGAGCAUGUACGUACCUUGUGGCUAUGCCAGGCCCAAACAUCACCAAGUGUCAUGCAGACUAGUGGUUGGGGCCCGCCAAUGGCGGGCCUCCUGAGGCGUUCCUAUGCGGCCCUAUCUUGACUCAGUACAUUUUUCUGUCUUGUUUGAUCCCUAAUCUCAACUCAUGUAACCUUUCUUUACAUGUCUAAGAGAAACACCGAUCCUGCUAAUGGAUGGGACAAAGCUUAUCAGGUUGCUACAAGUUUACAACCAAUUGGUCAUUAUUGUAUGAUUGGGUGCACACAUCAUUUGGUUGGAACACUUCCCCAAGAAAAUUCAAGAGUAAGGUUAGACCUUAUCUAGUCAAGAAUAAAAUGACAUCAAUAUCAACAUAUUCACUUUGCACCUCAAGGCAAUGGGAGAGGUUAACGCAGAUCAUAAUGGAAAGAUGUAUGAGCAGGACGAAGACACUUGUUUUAUAGUCUUGACAUAUAUGAGGAUAUACCAUAAGUUACAUGUAAAAAGUAGCAAUGGGCUUAUAAUAUAGUUUCUAGAAUAAUCUUCAAUGAGAAAUAAACUUGGUAGGGUAAACAAUGAAUUUAUGAUCUUUAAGCUUUAGCCGACACAUCAGUCUUUACAACCUUAAAAUAUACUCUAAAAUAUUCAUAGCUUGAAGGGGCAAGUAGAUUUCCUACAAAAAAAUAAAUAGAAAAUAGUUAGGCGUGGUGACUGGUGAGUGGACAGACACAUUAGUGUGGUCAAAAGGAACAACAACAUUUUAACAUGCCUACAAAAACCAGAAAAUAUGGGAGGACACUGUAAUAUCAUGCAAAGAAGAAAUCAUCUCAGACACUUCUCCCUUUUUAGGAGAACUGUAUCAAACACCUGAGUUGUACAAACCAAAAAUACGAAAUUAGCAACUCUCGGUACUUCCUUCACAUUCAGUUAUAUGAGUUUCAUCAUUUACAACCUGCAAUAUUUAACUCUUGCUAGUCCUUAGAGCUAGAAGUACACAUAUUAGAUUGGGAAGAUCACAUUCAGUUAGUCCAAAUUAAUCAAUGAACUACUCAACUAAGUUUGCUUGUGUAAACAAUAAUAUGCACCCAUCAAUGAUCUGGCUAUGCAAACAACUAUAAUUUAUAAUUUUCUAGGAUCCUCGGGUCUGAGUAUACCUUCACUAAACUGCUGCUCAGGUUGGUCACCUCGGAUCACAUCAGUGCCUACAGCACUUUCAAUAACAGACUUGCUAAAACUUCUUACUACUGGCACGCUUUCCUGCAAAGUAGGUUCGAUCAAAGAGCAUCAAGGGAGAGUGAGUACCUAAAAAUUCUGAAGAUCUAGAACGUAACCUCCUGCAGGCGGCACGCCGUACGAAAGGGGGCAAGGCUGCUGGAUCAAAAUCUCGACGUCCUCUGUCAUCCUCUAGUCAGACUACUCAACUUAUUUUCAUAGACCUGAAUUAAAUGUUAGAAAAAUGAAAUUUCAUGAUUACAUAGAUGAGAUGGUCUAGAAGUAGGGCACUGGAAGAAAGGGGAAGGAAAAUAUCAGGAAGAAGAGAGGAGGGUGUGUACCUGCGUCAACAACACAGUCAAGUAUAUGGAGAAAAGGUCCGCUGUGCACUUGCCUCAACACGACAAUUAAUCGAAAGAACUAUCCUCUGCACCUGUAGCGCUCAGUCCUGUAGAUAGUCUAGUAUUUAAAACAACUCCAUUCUAACUGCAAGAAUACACAUUGUCGCUAGUGAGCAGAACCAUGGCUCCACAUCCAUACUGAUCUUAUUGACAUUUAAAUAUAAACAUGGAUAGUUAGAACCACAUAAAGUACCUGCAGUAGUUCAGGCUGCAUAUCGAGCACUUAAGUACCAAUCUGGUCAGCGAUUACAGUGGCACACAUUGAUGAUGCUCAGUGUUGGUGGUUCAGUUCUAGCAUAUGCACAGAGAAAUGAAAUCACCUUAUAGCAUCUAACAUGUAUUCGUUGUGGUACUGUAUCCUCUUAUCAUCUUGAAGACAUAUUUCAACCUAUCAUGCCUGCCAUAUAUAAGUAGUUAAUUAUCACUGACAAUUUAUUUAAGGGCAAAAAUCUUAUCGGCAGGGAACUAUACAAUCUUCAGCGACUUACCAUUCUUAGUAAUGAACACAGGCAGAUUUCCAUACUUCUUCUUAACAUGUUUCACCAGACUGAACAUUCCCUAGGGAACUAACUAUGUGCAGCAAACUCAAUGCUGCCUGAAAGUAGACAAAUAUUUGUGUAUUAUCAAUUGAACAUGUGAUUAAGUAAGAUAGCAAACAAAAGUUUAGAGAAAACCUGAAGCUGCAAGUAUAUCGUUUUUCCUAUUCUCUUUCCAUGCCUGUAAGCUGCAUAGCACAUGGAGAAAUCAGUAAUAUUGACACUGGAUUAUGGGGAUUAUCAUAUGUUUUUUCAUCAUGACUGACGGAGAUGAGAUGACUGCAGCAUCCGUUGAAGCAUCAUUCAUGACAACUUUUCUGACGUGCAUCCCGUCGUUCCUAGCAUAUAAUGUUGUGUAGUGGUUUAUGCCUAUCAACAAAAGUUAGAUCAAAUUGAGUGUGUUUGCAUACAGAUUCUGAAUAUGCAGAAAGGGUGUUACAUACUAUCCAAGAUUUUGCUGUCCAGCUUAAUCUUAUACUGGUGGCAAUAAAAAGAAAAGCAUCAAAGGAUUAGUACCAGAAGUAAGUUCCUAUGUUUAUCAUAUCUACUUUUACAAAGUUAGGAUGCCUAUUCCUUAUAUGAACUGAUACUUGAACUUUGUAUCUGACACUGAGUACAUAAGAGCUCAAUUUCAGCGAUGUACAUUCAGUAAUGUGUAUAAAUGUCAUGCAAAUACAAUUGUAUUCAGUAAUGCUAUGAAAAUGUCAAUUUUUUUUUGCAUGGAAAAUGUAAGCAGAACACCUUCUACUUCUAAUCUUUGUAUGGAAGUGCAUGAUAAAAUCAACAACACCUACAAGUCAAACUGGGCGUGCCUUAUCCAUAUGCUGCACCAAGCUCUGCAUCUCCAACCUCAACUACAAGACAAUGUCUCCAAGGUAAAAAGGACCAUUCUACUUCUAUAAGUUUGCCCAUGAAAAUAAUAUAUUUUGUACAGUUUAGCGCAAGGAGAGAGGAGCAGGGAAAUACCAGUGGCGGCAGCGGUGGUGGCGCGAUCUUGGCGGAGUAUACCCCGGCGGCGGCGGGAGUCGACGCAACUGGAGUCGAUCUGCGGUGGAGGAGGGAAUCUAAGGGACGACGACGGUGUCCGCUUCAAACUGGAACCUAUAGGCGCAUGGCACAAUGAAAAGCAACCAAUCAAUAUCACUGGAUGGCUGGAUGUAACACAGGACGAAGGGUGGAUUCUGGGUCUAGUUAUACGUCUUAAAUUAAAUCAACAAUGCCACCAUCUACUCAGUUUGCCUAGUUCACAAAUUCUAUUUCGGUGAAUGGCUCCCCCGCGUGAAGCUUGAGGGCAACAUCACCAACAACCUGCACACAAAGGCAGAGCAAAAUUCAGUACGAGAGGAAAUGGUAAAUGGUCACACAAGUCAGCCAGCUUUAAUUCUUUUGCGUCGAAGAUUUCAAUGAUAAUACACACAGUUAAUGAUGAUGGUGGUGACUUCCUUUAUUAAGAAUGAAAUGAUAAUGCACAUGACACGCCUAUCUAAGCAGGGGUUGAAUGAGGUGUCCUUCAGUUCAAAGUAAUUCUAGGAUAUCGAAAAAGGAAGCAACAAUCCACAAAAUCAUGAAUUUAUGCGCAAAGAGAAAGAGGAGGUUGCUAAGUGGCUAAUAUCGAUAAAGAAUAAACCAUUUUGUUUAAGCAUAUAUGUUAUUGUUUACUGAUGCUUUUAGUCAUGAGAAAAAAAGUUCUUCCAACAGAAUACUGCCUUUUCAUACCAGGCCUGUGGCCAGGAAAGCUGAUCAUCCAAAUUGGCACUGUAAUGUUUAAACAGUGUGCUCAUGAAGCCAAUGAGGUAGCUCAUAAAUCAUAUGAUUCUAGUGCUAGUUUUGUUUGAAAAGAUGAUCCACCAGACGUAUUAUAGAGGCUAAUGUAAUUGAUGCUACCUAAUGAUAUUAAAACGUCACAGUUGGCUCAAAAAUAAAUAAAUAAAUGUGGCGCUUCUGAAUCUAGAAGUUCUUUUAACACAAAUAGUAUAAUGUCACUAUAGGAGUUGUCAAGAUAUAACUACUAACGACAACUACAUGAUUGGUAAAUGAGAACCAACUCUGUGUAUUGCAAAGAAACAAGUGCAAACCAACUCUGUGAUUCCUGCAACAUGUGGUGUUAUAAUAACAUUUGGGAAUUUCAGAAUUGGAUCCUCUUGAUCGAAUGGCUCCGUCCAAGCAACAUCAAUGCCUAAACCACCUAAAUGACCUGACUCAAGGUGAUUAAACACAGCCAUAUAGUCCAGUAGGCGCCCUCUGGCAAUAUUGAUGAGAUAUGAUCCCUACAAGAACAUGGCAGUUAUUGAGAAUGGGAGUUCUGCUGUCAGGUGCAUACUUCACAGUUUUCCAAAAAUCAAAAACAGAUCCUAUAUGUAGAUUGCAAAAUAAUAUAUGCACUCUGUAAGUUUUUGUCAUGAAAUAUGUCCAUUUAUGUGUGUGCAAGGAGAGAAAUACUAAAAUAUCAACUCUAUGCCAUGAACCUUAGUUCAUGAUGGAUAAUACCGCCAGCCUGGUAUGGCUAGGUUGAUAGUGGAGGACAGGCUCGAAGAUAAGGCUGAUUAUUUCUUGUUUCAUUAAUAUAUUCUAAGAGGAUCUUCUUUACAUAGAGCCAAACAAUAAAAAACAGGAUAUCUUAUUUCUGCUGGCGUAAGGGCCAGGUUACAAGAUAUCUUCCUAAUUUAAAUAGUUAAAACAUCCCAUAAUUUGUGCCGAUUGGGGUCGGUUAUGCCUGUCACAUGUGUUUCUGCAGCAAGUUUUUUUUCCGAUACCGGUUUUCUUUUUUGGAAUGGGCCGGAAGAACCGAAUUGCGAUAAAUCUCGGAAAUCUCAGAAUUAUUCCGUCUGAAUGUAUUCAAACAAAUUCUUGAUUUUUUUUGCGUCACAAUAUGUAAUUUUAACCUGGCACACACACAUACUCUCACGGAUUCCACUGGUCACCUCGCACAUGCCUUUUUUCCGUGUGGGGUGUGGGUUUUAACCCUCGCUGCUGCACUAUUUUGCUAUGCACCAUUUACAGCUGAAGAAGCUGCAAACAUUGAUGGGACAAUAGGGGAAUCCCCAAGACCUCCAAGGGUGUAAGUUAUGGACCUCACCACCACACGAGGCAGUGAGUUGUGAUAACAUAUGCAUACAGAGCCUAUUUGACAGUCUUAGCAUUUGAAUUCAUUUUUUUUUCAAAAAAGUCGAACAGUUACACUGUUUCUUGGGGGUCAGCGAAAGUUCUGUUCGGUUACCACUCGGAAAAAACCUUGAUCUGCAGUGGUGCACACACACGGCACCCUUUUUGCGGGGAACACACGACGCUUUUUUUUGCGGGGAACACACGAGGCUAUAUGUAUGCAUUUCUUUAUAGACUUUACCAAAAGAGCUGUACAUACAGUAUCAUUCCACGAACGUCUAUGAAUAUUCUUGAUAUCUUUUCCUUUUGAAAACUUGGAGCAGCACGCUUGUUCUUUGAAACAAGAACAUAUGCUCCUGGGAUCACUUUGGCAUUUUCUGAUGGUUAUUCCAAUGAAUACACCAGCACAAUCUGAUCCUCCAACACUAUUCUAAGAUUAAUGUUUCCUCAUAUACAAAUUUUCUUCUUACAGGAUGAAUCAAGAAUGAUGGCUUAUUUAUUCCGUAAAAUAAAUAAAUCUCAGAAGAAGAUUUAAGAAAUGAGAAGAUGUAAAUCUCCUACGAUGCAGACAAGUAUAUUGGAGAAAAAUACAUGUACCUUUUUCAAAGCUGACAGGAACUUGUGAUCCACAAUCCCAACCUAUAAAUAUUUAUAGCUUAGUAACCGCCUAACUGAAGUCAAAUAGAGAUAUUACUGGCAGAAUUUUUAUUAAAUAAAUGAACAAAGAGAAGAAUUAACUGAUUCAUUGUUUAACGUCAUGCAAGUUAUAACUAUGUCAGCUUCUCGAACGAGUUCGUACAUAUCUUCUGGACCACCUUUCUUGUCAACCAGCCCAUCAAGAUCUGCAAUAGCAAUAUUUUGAGAGAGGAAGAUAACACAACAUCUAAUAAGGGAAUGAUACUGCAACUACUGCAGCUUACCACAAGACACUGUAUUUGAUGACCAGUUUCUUUUUGUAGCAAGAAUUUUCACUCCAAAUGGUCUUAGUCUCUUGGCAAUUUCCAUGCCAAUGGCUCCGAACCCCAGGAUAAGUAUCUAGCAUAGUAAAUACAAGUUUCUACUCAAAUGGGAUUUUUCUUGUGGAAAGUAGAUAAAAGUAACUUAUACACGAAAAGCAUACUGUUUUCCCGAAUAUUGCUUCUCCAACUGGAAGGCCCAAGUCCUUCUGAAUGACAGCAGUAUCCAUUUCCUUCUGCAAAUUAUGGCCAAAGUCCAAAACAUGAAUAUUCCAUUACAACUGACAGAAGUAACUUAUAGUUAUUAAACUAAAAAAACUUAUCUUCCAAAUGAUGGAAGCUACAAAGGUAGCUUAUUUAACAAAAAACUGAGUUAAUAUCCGGUACAAAUAUAUGCAACAUGAUGAACCAUGGCUUGAAAUCAGUGUCCGAUUGCCUAAAUUGUUGGAUAUUGUACUAAGUAGGAUCCACGUGAAACAGAAACCAUGUUUAAUAGGCUCAUCAUGUAUUUUUUUCCCAAAUUUCUGCAGCUUGCAGGCCCUUUUAUCAAAUCCAGCGGCUGCCGCAUCAGCAGCUCAAACUGGAACCUACAGGCGCAUGGCACAAUGAAAAGCAACCAAUCAAUAUCACUGGAUGGCUGGAUGCAACACAGGACGAAGGGUGGAUGGCAGGGAGGGAGGGAGCAACGCGAUACCUCGAGCAGGAAGGGGUUGGGGCCGGGGAGGGGGAGGUCGAGGGAGCGCGCGAAGCGCGCAGAGCUGAGCAGCCUCUCGCCGUAGCAGGAGAGGUCCAUGCCGCCGCCCUGGAUGAUGAGCAGGAAGACGAGCAGCGAGGGCCCGGACUCGAAGAGCUCGCCGCCGCACUCCUCUUCCUCACCUUGGACAGCGGCCGCGAUGUCGACCUGAGUCUGGCAAAUCGACAGAUCAGACGAAAGUGGUCACACCGUGCUCGGCAGCGGCGUCGCGGCCCUCCUUCCGCUGCCGUACUCGGGGAAGAAAGGGAGGGGUGAGGAAGCUGGUGUUCGGGCCGGUGCUGGCACUACAGCGAGGAGCCGGUGGUGGAGGCGGCGGAGCUCGGGGCGGGGAUAGAGGCGGCGUACUGUGGUGCCGGGCGGCGGAGGACCUGGGGCAGUGGCGGCGGCAGCCUAGGGAAGGGAGGAAAGGGGAGGUUGCGUAGAAAGAAAAGAAGGCACCGACGUCCUGCGCUUUUUUACUUUUUUUUUCUCUCUCACUAGCACAGUAAAAUUGACGAGGUGCCUUUGAUGCGCACCUUAUUGUUUUGGAUUACGCUAGGUUAUAUUGUUUGCACUAGUUAUGUUUGGUAUCCAUAUGGCCCUUCCACAUCAGUAAUUCAUGCAUGUCAGACAUAAAUUUUUAAAAAAAUAGUUGCAACCCACUAUAUAUUUUCAUAUAUAUACAUGCAACCACGACACAUCAACAAGUCAUACAUGUUAGUCAUAAGUUACUUUUUUUGCACUAAUUAUUUUUUCUAUCCAUGUAACUCUGCAACAUCAGCAAGUCAUGCAUUCUAGUUAUAAUUAACAUUUUUUUCAUUAAUUUUAUGUUGUCAUGCAUACUACAUGUGUUGGACACGAGCGUUCCUAUAUAGUUCAUCCUUCGCAAUUUUGUUAGAAAAUGAAAUUUCGUUAACUGCAAUACAUUUAUUCUCUUUUUAUAUAUAAUUUAAUUACCUGCUUCAAUUUUUUAUUUGUUGUAUUUAAAAAUGCAAAUAGAGAUCACUCUUACAUUGGCUUUGCAUUAGUAUGAGUUUUUUUUUGUAGAAUCUAUUUAUGCAUUUCUUCCAACAAGGUAUCUCCAACAAUGCAUGAGAUGACAUCUAGUGUGAUUAAAAAAAUGCUCAUAUAUCAUAAAAAGGAUGUGCAUGCUAUGGAAAGAAACAUAGAUAUGUUUCAAGUAAAGACAUAUUUCACAUGAAAAUAUUCACGUGUUUACUAAAAAGGAAUAAAAAAUUAAUUCAGAAAUUCAUGUAUAAUAAAUGCAGCGUUCAUGUAUCAUGAAAAUAAAUAAAUAAUAUCAUGAGUCAAAUAAAUACCUAAAUUUACUAUGAUGAAAACUAAAAGCAAAAACACAACAACAGAAAAAUAGAAACGACAAACAAGAAUCACGGAGCAUGGCCGGGGUAUCAUCUAGUGUGAUUAAAAAACGCUCAUAUGUCAUAGAAGGAUGUUCAUGCUAUGGAAAAGAAACAUCCAUCUGUUUCAAAUAAAUAAUUAUAUUGCAGGAGAAUAUUCAUGUGUGGUAUUAAAAAGGAAUAUAAAAUUAAAUAUUUAAAUUCAUGUAAAACAAAGGUAAUGUUCAUGUCUCUUGAAAGUAAAAAAUAAUAAUAUCAAUAAUUAAAUAAAUAACCUAAAAUUAGUAAAAUGAAAACUAAAAACAAAAGCAAAACAAGAGGAAAAAAAUGAUAAAUGAGAAUAAGGAAAAAAGGAAAUAGAAAAAGGGUAGCAGAAGAAAUAAAGAAGCAAAAUCACUUUCGAACACAACCACUCAUGCAGAAGCUUCAGGCUUUGGCUCCCUUAUUUGCCACAACGUGCCGCAAAUAGGGUUUGCCGUCCGAGGCAAGAGGGAAAUGGUACACGUAAAUCCAAUUUCUUGUGACUGAGCUAUAUUUGUAAUUUCAAGUUCUAAAAAUUACAGAAAAAAUCAUGCACAUUGAAAUGGGAGUAGCAGGUUUUUAUGAAAAAGAAUAUAAUCACUCGCCACUCGCCAGCCGUACAAAAAAAAAAA